This 52780-nucleotide long non-coding RNA is filed under the name Durio zibethinus. RNAcentral describes it as "long non-coding RNA (DZIB_LNC001985)". The record is from RNAcentral. Lineage: Eukaryota; Viridiplantae; Streptophyta; Magnoliopsida; Malvales; Malvaceae.
CUUGGAACAGCAUUUUCUGGUGCAAGUUUGCGUGGACUUCCAGUUGAAUUCUGGAUUUGGAUAUGCCCUGACUUGUUGAAGAUCAACCGAGAACCCGUUUCAAAACUUGAAUAAUUAUUGUAAGGUUUUCCGGUGAACAUAUCUAUUUGAUUAAGUAUGAGAGAUCCUUUAUCGAAACGAAGUUGAUAUUUCCCCUUAUUGUAACUUGUUUCAUCCAGGGCUGAUAAAAGAUUGCCAUCAAAAUCCAAUUCUUGAGUCGGUAAGAUGGUAUCAGUUGGAUAUUUGAAGCUUUCCCAUAUGUUGGCUGAGUUGUUGCUAGCUAUCACAAAAUUCCCUGUAUCAAGCAUGGCUGCGUGUGACACUUGAGAAUCAUUUGUGAGGCUUUGGGACCUCCACAACUCUUUGUCUUUAGGAUCUUUAAGCACAAGAUGUCCGGUCCUGGUGAGCUCAACCUUUGAAUCUUUAUCAGUUGCUGGAUUCUCUCUAUUAGCAUACCAUACUAUAGUUCUUUCCGGGAUCUUAGCAUACCAGAUCGCAAGAACGAACCUAUCUUUUUGGCCUGGAAUGGGAUGAAAACCAAAGGCAAAAUCACCUGAUGGUGAUUGCCAGCUCAUGGUUUUGUCAUUUGCAGAUAGAGAAUCACCUACAUUUACAUUACGUUGAGCCUGAACUGUUGCGAGAAUCCAGUGGAUGCUUACAAGAAUAAGCAGGAAAAGACGAGUAUGAAAAAGUGUUGAGAUCAUUGAAUCUCUCCAGUAGGAAUUCAAGUGUGAUUCCCAAAUGUGACGAAAACGAAAACUUUGUGCCUUCUGGUACGAUUCUCUGCACUUUAAAAGGGACUGAGCCGGUUGCGUGCGCGUUUUGUAUGAUCAUGGGAUUCCAGGGGACAACUCCCUGGAAACUUCAAGGAUGAGGGGAAAAAGAACAGAAAUUUGGCACGGCACGUACUUUUUUUUUUAUGUAGCGGCAAGGGAUUCUUAGGCUUCUUUCAAUAUAUAUAUAUAUAUUUGAAUCAGUUUAAAACGAUUUAUCUAAAUGAGAUUUAACGAAUUUAUAAAAAAUUAUCUUCUUACUUUAACCGAACAACAAAAAGAAGAGCACAUUUUUUUUUGCUACUUGAACUAACUACUCAAUAGAUUUGACAAUUUGAAAAACUAUAUAACGACAUAAUACAAAAAUAAUAUAAAUAAAAAAAUAAAAAAAUAUGAUUUAAAAUUUUAAUAAAAAUUAUAAAUGAAUUCAACAAAAUAAAUUUUUUUUUAUAUUUUAAUAUCAAUACAAAUUAUAACCUAUAAUUUUUAUAUAAAAUAUAAUAUAAAUACAUAAAAUUUUAAUAUUUUAUAUAAUAUAAAUAUAUAAAUUAUCAAAUCUAUCGUCGUGUCACAGCUCAUAUUUUGACAUUUCUGCUUUAUUGCAUUAUUUUCAGUUGUGUUCCACUGAUGUCUGAUAACUUUAGAUUAGGUUCAAUUGAUUUAAAUGUGAUGUUACUGAGUCUGGACCCACUUUACAAACACAGUGAAGUAUAAAUUUCUCAAACUUCUGCAAUUCUAUUUUGAUCCGUCUCUUACCGUUUGUCCGUUUCUAACAAAAUGUUCAAAGCCAUUGUUCAUUCAUGAAAAUUGUGUUUGCUAUGUUUAACAAGUAAUUCGAAUAAAGGGGAAUAAAAUAAAAUUAUUUCUUAAUCAAAUAACACAUACAUAUAUGCAUAAUAAUGAUCAAAUGUUUAUUUUCAUUAAAUUUAGCUCUUAAUUGGUUACUGACUGUAAUAUGAGGCUUACAAAAUUAAUUUUCUUUCAAUUAAAAGUUCAAUUAGGUGAAAGUGAUUUUAAGAUUUCCAUUCAACUUUUAAACAUUUUUUAAAAACUCAAUAAGUAAAUAAAUAAUUAUUUUUAAAAAAUAAAAAUAUUGCUACAUCAUGAUUGUGCUAAUCAAUCUGAUUAGAAUAUAAAAAAUCAUAAAUAAAAAAUAGAAUCUUACAAAUCCCAAACUUUACAAAGAUUUUUGUUAAUAUGAUCUAUGGGAAGAUGCUUCAAUCUUGUUAAUCAAGUUGACAACCAGCUUAGGAUUUACAUGGAAAACUUUUAUAAAUUUUUAUAUAACCUGUUGUUCAUCUCCCACAAUAUUUAAAAAUAUAAGCUUUCAAAAUAAUGCUUAAAAUAAUGAAAAUCAAGGAUUUCUUGUAGCUUUCUUACUGUCCAUCUCUAAAAACCCAUUUUUUGUUUUACGAAACAAGUUGAUUUUUAAAACUCUGUUUAAUUUUUUUCAGUUUUGUGGAGCAUUAGUUGAGCAAGUAUCAAAGAAGUCGAGACAGGUUUUGUUUUGCUGAUCAGCUCAUCAACAAGUUAUCUCAUAGGAAAAAUCUAACUUAAAAUAGAUUUUGUUUUGCUUUACCAUCCAUCAAAUAUUUUUUCUAAUAACCUGUCAAAGACUUACUUACAAACUAGUGGAUGGUUGGCUUAAGUGAAAAAAAAAAUUAUGUUUUUCUCUUUAUUAUUUGAAUUUGAAUAUACUAAAACGUCGUGAGAAGUUAAUUUUUUAUAAAUUCAUUAAGUCCGAUAUAAAUAAAUUUGUUUAGAUUAACCUAUAAAGGGAAUGCAGCAGGUGAAGUUUAAAAACCCCUUGCCACUAAAUAAUAAAAGAUUUAUAUACAAAUAAAUAAGGAUUAAUAUUCAAAUAAAUCCUCAAACUUUGAGCUUUUUAUUUUAUUGUAAUUAUAUUCAUUAAAUUUUAAAAUUGAAUGAAUACUGUCCAAAUUAUAGAAUUUUGGGUAAUUUCUUGAUUUUUAGGAUGGAAAGAUCUUAAAGGUAAUUUUGAGGGAAAAUUCGUGGACAAACAAAUUUGAGAAGUCAAAAUUUGUUAGGGGGAAUUGUUGAAAUUUUUUUGCAUUAAUUUUUAAAAAUUUUAAUUUUUUGGUGUUGUUUAAGUUUUUUAGUUGGAUUCCAACAAGUUUUUCGAGUUUUCAAUGACUUUUUGACUAAUGUUCUAGAAUUUGGCGAUCAAAUCCAGAUUUCGACUAAAACCUCGAUAACAUCUUGAUGAUGUACAAAUUUUCCAGCAAUAUUUGCAAAGUUCGGAGACAAUAUUCAUUAAUCUUUAUGCAAUGUUUGGAUAAAUAUUAAUAAAAAAAAUAAAAUAAUUUUUUUUAAAAAAUGAAAAAAUAUAUGCACUUUUUGUUAGAUAGUUAAAAUUAAUAAAUGAAAGAAAAAGAAUUCUAAUAAUCUUUGUUUGCAUAAAGAGUAAAAAAGAAAGAAAAUAAUUUAUUAUAAUAAUUUUUUUCAGUUAUAAUCUUUCAUUACUUGUGAUUUUAGAACACUCAUAAAUAUAAUAAUUUUUUAACAAAAAUAAAUUUUUUUCAAUUUUCCUUACUUUAACUUUUCUCCCAAAUUGGGUAUUGAAAAAGUGAAGAUUACAAAAAAAAUCAAAAGUUAUUGAGUUUUUACUUUUUCUUUUCUUUGAAGUAAAAAUUUAUCCAAAUAAGAAAAAGAUUUUUCUAUUUUCAUUAUUUUUAUUUUAUUUUCCUUUCCCUUACUUCCUCUCUCCUCAGUCUAAACAUAGUAUUAGAGAUAGAAGUAAAGGAAAAAAUAAAGAGGAAAGAGAGUUGAAGCAAUUCUGAAAAGAAAAAAAACAAAAUUUGAUCUUUUAUACCCAGAGUUAAACGAUGUCUUAUUGUAUUUUGACAUUCACCCAUGAUUAGGGUCGGCAAUCAAACCUAUCCUCGACGGAUUUCGACCCAACCCGACCUUAUGAGGUCGAAUUCUUUUUUUGAAAUUCGAGUUUCGGAUCGGGUCGAUCGGGUAAGGUUAGGAAACAAUCAGGGUCGGGUCGGGUUCGCGUUUUAGGCAAAUCGAACCCGAUCCGACCCGAUAUUAUAUAAAAAAUUAUUUUUAAUUAAUUAUUUAAUUAUUUAAUUAUAUAUAUAUUUAUAUAAUGAUAUUUUUAAAUAUUUAUAUUUAAAAAAUAAUAUUUUAUAUUUUAAAAAAAUAAUAUUUUAUAUAGUAUCGAGUUGGGUACGGUUUAUAUAGUAUCGAGUCGGAGUCAGGGUUAGGUAUGAAAAAAUAAAAAAAAUUUCGGGUAAGGUCAGGUUCAGGUUUAAUAACACAUAAAGUCGGGUUGGGUUUGGAGCGAGCAAAACCUGCCCCAAACCCGACUCAAUGUCAACCCUACCCAUGAUCAAUGUGUUUUGCCAUUUAUUGCUCGACCUGUUUUGUGACCCGACUUACUACUCAACAACCAUUUUAUUCUUUAAUUGAAUUUAAUUAAUUUAUAUUUAUUUUAAUUGAUUUUUUUCAAGAAAAAAAAAAGAAAGAAUUCUUAAAAUAAACUCAUGAUUCCUAUAAAAUUAUUGAAUGAUUUUCAUGAAAAAAUUUUUAAUUAUGAAUUCUAUCAAACUAUUUGAGAAUUUUAUAAUAAAAUUUUAUAAAAAAUAAAACUUUUAAUCUUUCCAAACUAUUAGAAGACUUAAAUAUCUAAAUUAAGUAUUAUCAAAUUAUUAGAGGAAUUAAUGAGUUUUUAUUAAAAAUAAUUUUUUUAAUCCUAUCCAAAUAUUAGAAGAUUUAAAUUUCGAAUUAAAUCUUACUAAACUAGUGAAAGAUUUAGUGAUUCUUCUUAAAGCAAACUUCAUAAAUAGAUUUCUUAAUAAAAAUCUCACCAUACUAUUUGGGGAUGUGCAUCCAAAUAAAAUCUUAAAAAAUUAUUAGAGGAUUUUAUUGUUUAUCUAAGGCUUUGGAUAACAUAAAAUCAAUUAGUACUAUCUUUCAAAUUAGUGUUGUGAGGAUGCUAUAAUUUUUUUCACGCAUAAUCAUUUUUUUGGACUUAGUGUCGGUUUCGUAAUGCUAAAAUCUACUAUUUUAAAUAUACUUAAGUCAAACUUGAGAUUUUUUUUAAAAAUAAAAUAAAUUCAGUUAAGUGCUCAAUUGUAUCUAAAUAUAAAAGAUUGCUAGAAACUCAUAAAGUUAUAUUUAGUGAUAGGUUCAUGAAUUUAUAUAUUAUAAUAGUUUGACGACUUCACUGAAAAAAGCAAAGGGUUAGACUAAUAAAUAAUUUUUUAUUAUCUAAGUCUGACUUAAUAAUCACCUAAUUAAGAAAACAUGAAAAGAAUCUCCUAAUUAAGAAUCAAACAUAACUUAGCAAGAAAAAUUCUCUAGUAGUUUAAAAGUUUGUGCUUUUUAAUCUAGCUUUUUCUUUAACUUUUUUGGAUGCAUACAAGUGUUUUUUAGGUUUGAUAAUUCAUGAAUUUAUAUCAUAUUUAUUUUAUGUUGUUAUUAUGUUAUUAUUUAUGUUAACAUAUUAAAUACAAAAUAUAUUUUUAAAUUUUUAUUAAAUUUAUAUAAUUUUUUUAAAAAAAUUAUAUUAUAUCACUUUCAUAUAUAUAUAUAUAUAUUUCAUAUCAUGUAACUUUUUCAGUUUAAAAUUGCAAGAUCUUUUCUUCUCUUGGGAUAAUGUUUUUAUUUUCUAAUUGAAAUUUGGUUUUUACUUUCUAAUUUUUUUUUACAGUGAAGUUGAUGGGCUACGCCUAAAGUGGUCCCUAGAGUGUUGCCUUUCAAUUACGUUUUUGUAUAGGGACCUAGGCCCACCAUGUUCUAGUUCAAUGAUUUUGUUGAUAAUAAAAGACUAUUUCAUGUCGUAGAUUAGGAUCGGACCAACCAAAGCCAGCUAUUUAUGUUGUGGGAAUUUAUUAAAAUUUAAAGUGGACUUUAUUUUAAUUAAUAAGCCAACAAUAAAUGAUGAAGACUCCUUAGAAUAAAUUAUAUCCUUGUCCCAACAUUUAUAGAAUAACCCCAAAGGAUUUUUUUUUUAAUUAAUUUUUUCCCUUUUACAAAUAAAUUGGUGUGAAAUACUAACAAUACUUGUGAUCCCAAGUCAAAGAUCAAGCAAAUAAUAUAAAAGCAACAAGAUUCUUACAGGAUUGAUGAAUAUACAUACAAGAAAUGAGCUUAUAUAUAUACAUAUAUUGAUUUUUUGAAUUACGAUUAAAGUUUAAGUUCCAUACCUUCAGUUCUAGAAUCGAUUCAAGUAUUAUUCAACUGUUAUAUAAUUUGAUGAUUCAUGAAGAAGUGAAAAUCCUAUAAAAUUAAUGACCAAGAAAAGAUUAUGAACAAGAAAAUAUUGAUUAUCAAAACAUUUUCUUAACAGCCACUCUUUUUUGUAACUGAAUUGGCAAAGUUUCAACAAUUUUCACAUUUUCAUUUUAUUUUCUUCUAAUAGUCAAUAUGAUCACAUGAAAUUACCCAACUUAUUGAAAGAACUAAUUUGUUGGUGAGCCAAGAAAAUUGAUACACCUAAAAUUGUUUUGAUAAUUGAUAAUCAUGUUUGGCAGGGUCAACCUAAAUGAUUAAUUAAUUUCAUUUCUUCAACAAUUCAUUGUUAGGUUAUUAUAAAGACUAGAUCAUUGAAUUUACAAGGAAAUGGCAUGGUGGAGUAGGAACCUGGACAACACCAUCAAGCAUCAUUGUAACAAUCUUCAUGGAUGGCCUCAACAAUGGAUUUUCUUGUACACACUAAAUUGCCACUUUUAAUAACAUCUCUAAUUUCUUAACAUCACUUCUAGCCUUUUCAUCAUUUUCCACCAGCUUUUCAACUAUGCCUUCUCUGUAGCAUUCAAAUGCCCAUUUUGUUAAUAUUGUUGCUUCUUCCAUCUCAACUUUAACACAUCUUCUGCAACAUAUAAUUUCUAACAGCAUCACUUCAAAACUGUAAACAUCUACCUACACUUUGACUGGGGUGUUUUUGAACCAUUCUAAUGCCACAUACCCUUUAGUCCAUCUUAUGCCUGUCAGCGUUUGAGUGUUGUUGUUGAUCAAAAGCUUUGACAACCCAAAAUCAGAUAUUUUAAUAGUAAAAGAAUCAUCCAAUGGUAUAUUUUAUGGCUUUAUGUCACAGUGGAUGAUUUGUGUGUUGCAUUCUUCAUACAAGUAUAUGAGGCCUUUUGCAAUCUCUGAUGCAAUUUACGGUCUUUACUGUCAAUUAGGCCUUAGCACUCCAAAGAGAAAGCUAACCAAUAAACCAUUUUGUAUAAACUCAUAUACCAUAAUUCCAUUAGUAAAAAUCCAGUUGGCCUUCGUUGCCAACUAGGGUUCCUUGGAUAAUAAUAGGGAGUAACAACUCCAUAAAAAUUAAUUAUUGCCUUACAAUAGUUUGAGUCUGGUUUUGGAGCAGCAUUUACUGGAGCAAGGUUGAGUAGACUUCAAUUUGAAUUUUGGAUUUGGAUAUACCCUAACUUGUUGAAGAUCAACUAAGAACCAGUUUCAAAACUAAAAUAAUGAUUGUUAGGCUUUCUGGUGAACAUAUCUAUUUGAUUAAGUAUGAAAGAUCGUUUAUCGAAAUAAAGUUGAUAUUUCCCCUUAUUAUAACUUGUUUCAUCUAAAACUGAUAAAAGAUUGCCAUCAACAUUCAGUUCUUGAGUUCGUAAGAUGGUAUCAGUUGGAUAUUUGAAGCUUUCCCAUAUGUUGGCUGAGUUGUUGCUUGCAAUCACAAAAUUCCUUGCAUCAAGCAUGGCUGCAUGUGACAUUUUAGAAUCAUUUGUGAGGCUUUGGGACCUUCACAACUCUUUAUCUUUUAGAUCUUUAAACAUAAGAUGUCCGUUCCUAGUGAGCUCAGCCUUUUAAUCUUUAUCAGUUAUUGGAUUCUCUCUAUUAGCAUACCAUACUAUAGUUAUCUCCAGGAUCUUAGUGUUAAAAUGUAUAUUAUGUUUAGUUGACUUAUAAGGUUGGACUUUAUUUUUGAAUAUAUAUCAUGGGCUUUAAAUCCAUUUAUACAUUUGCAUAUAUAUGUAUUUUACAACCUUAAAAAUAUUGUUGUUUUUCACUCUUCAAGUUAUCAUGGUAUCAGAGCUUUCGGUGACUGGUAUUUUUCUUUGUUUUAGGUCACUUUGAUUUGCUAUUGUUUGACCUUUUUUUUUCCCUUAAUAAGUGGCUGUUGCAUUUGUAUUUUUUUUUGUUUUGUCAUUUUAUGAAAUUGGGUAGAAUUGGUUUUGUGCCAUUGACUAUAGCUUGGUUUUGUAAAAUUGGAAUUGCUUUGUCUUUUCCUUCUUUUAUUCAUUAGCUACAAGUUGACUAAAUAUUUUAUUAGUUCUGGAUUGUUUACUUGUGUAAUCGACUUGUUUGUUUCACCUGCUACGAAUUGAUCAAUUUAUUAGCUUGUUACAAGUUGAUCGGUGCAUUGGCUUUAAAUUAUUUUUACUCAUGGCUCUUUUAAAAUUAUCACAGCUUAUUACAAUAAAAUUAGAUGGAAUAAAUUACACUCAUUGGUCUUAUUUGAUGCGAAAUUUAAUUUUUAAAAGGAAAAGGACUCUGGAAAUAUGUUCAAGUGAUAAAAAAUGUCUGAGAUCUCUUGAUAGAUUGAAAAAUUUUGUGCCUGAAUAUGAACAAUAAGAGAUUAAUAAUAGCAAAAUUGUUACUUGGAUUGCCAAUAUUGUUGCUCCUUCAAUUAGUAUGUAACUUGAAAAUUUUGACACUGCUAAAGAGGUUUGGGAUUUUCUUGAAAAAUGUUAUGUUUAAAGUAAUUUUGCUCGAAGAUAUAAACUUGAAAUGGAUCUUGCCACUUUGAAACAGAGAAGGGGACAAUCAAUUUCUAAUUUUCAUUUUGAAAUAUCAAUUAUUUGAGAUCAAUUAGCUUUUAUAGAACCUAAAUGGAUUGUUGAUGCAGAACUAUAUUAUCGAUAGAGAAAAAAUAGGUCGUCUUAUAUAAUUCAUAAUGGCACUUCAAGAUGAUUUUGACUUCAUUCGUACUUUUAUUCUAUAUCGUGCCCUUUCUUUUUCUGUUGAUGCUAUUUUGUUAGAAUUGAUGGCUGAAGAAACUAGGAGAGGCAUCCUUAAUCAAUCCAAAUGAGGGGAUGAUACUAUUUUAGUAACUGCUGCACGUUCAAAAAAUUUUUAUCUCUAAUUCAUUUGGCUCAUCUUAACGAAGGGAUUCUUAUAAAAUUGAAUGUUAUUACUGUCAUGAGUUGGGACAUACAAAACAUAAUUACCUAGAAUUGAAAAGCAAUGUUGUCUACAGAAACUUUUGAUGUUAACUCUCACUCCACUACAAAUCAAACUCAAAAUAUUAUUCAACAGGUUAUUUCUUGUAUUAAUAAUAACUCUACGAGUAAUAAUUCUUUGACAUCUGCAUUAUCAAUUACUUCAGGUACUAAUUCUAAAGAUUGGAUCAUUGAUUCUAAAGAUUUUAAUUAUAAAACUUUUGAUAAUUCUAUCUUUGACUCUUUAACUCCUAUUACUUUUUGACCUUCUAUUCAUACUACUAAUGGUUCAAAUAUGUUUGCUACUCAUAUUGGCUUUGUCUCAUGUUCUCAAAAUAUUUCUUUUGAUAAUGUUCUUUUGGUUUCAUCACUUUCAUGAUUUGCUAUUUGUUGGUCAAUUAUGUGAUCAAGACCUUGAUGUUAUUUUUUGCUCUCGUGGUUGUGCGGUGCAAGAUUGCUUAAUAGGGAAAGUGGCUGAGACAGGUUAAAAAAUUGGAAGAUUAUUUGUUUUGGAAAACUUAUAUGUGUCAUAUCAUUUUUUUGAUGAAUUUGAUCAUCUUUUGUGAGAAAAUCCUUAUUAGUUUCUAGUGUUCAAAAGCUUGCAUCUUUUUCUCUUUGGCAUCAUAAGUUAGGACAUAUUUCUUGUUCUAGACUUCAAUAGUUGGUAUUUAGUGGCAAGUUAGUUUAUGUUAAGUCAGAAACAUCCAAUAAUUGUAUUAGUUGCAAACUAGCAAAACCUUUGAGAUAAAGGAUCUUGGUCCAUUACAAUCUUUUUUGAGUAUUAAAAUUGAUUGUUCCUCUCAUAGAUAUGUCUUGUCUCAAGUGAAAUAUGCUUCUGAUCUUAUUUUUGAAGCUAGCUUAUCUGAUAAUAAAACUGUUGACACUCCUCUUGAAACUAAUGUCAAAAAGAAAGUUACUGAUGGAAAACUUCUCAAUGAUACUACUUUGUAUAAACAGUUGGUUGGUAGUCUUAUAUAGUUGAUAGUGACAAGACCUAAUAUUAGUCAUACAAUUCAAGUUGUAAGCCAAUUUAUGAUAGCACCACGAACAAUUCACUUUGCUAUAGUUCUUAGGAUAUUGAGAUAUUUGCGAGGAACACUACAUAAAGAUUUGCUAUUCUCAUCAACUUAUAAAAUUGAACUUUGUGCUUUUUUUUUAUUUUGAUUGAACUAGUGAUGUUAAUGAUCGGUGUUCUAUAACUGAUUACUGCGUUUUUCUUGGUGAUUCUUUGAUAUCUUAGAAAAGCAAAAAAUAGUCAGUUGUAGCGCAUUCAAGUACAGAAGUAGAGUAUAGAGCUUUAUCAAACGAAACAACAAAAAUUAUGUGGUUAUGUUGGUUACUUAUGAAUUUAGGUGUUGACAUGCCUACUCCUAUUCUAUUUUUUUUUUGUGAUAAUAAGAGUGUAAUUCAAAUUGCUCAUAAUAAUAUUUUUUAUGAACGGAAUAAACAUAUUAAAAUAGAUUGUCAUUUUAUUAGAUAAGAGAUAUGCAAAAGCACCAUCAUGCUACAACAUUUUUCUUUUGAAUAACAAGUGACGGAUCUUUUUAUAAAUUUCUUUCAAGUUCAUGUUUUUGUUAUUUAGUUUCCAAACUUAUUUGAUUUCGAAUCAUUUUCAAUUUGAGUGGCUAUUGAAAUGUAUAUUAUAUUUAAUUGACUUAUAAGUUUGGGCUUUGUUUUUGAAUAUAUCUCAUGACCUUUAAAUCCAUUUAUGCAUUUGUAUAUAUAUGUAUUUUACAACCCUAAAAAUAUUGUUGUUUUUCACUCUUCAACUCAUCACUUAGCAUACCAGAUUGGAAGAACGAACCUAUCUUUUUGGCCUGGAAUGGGAUCAAAAUCAAAGGCAAAAUCACCUGAUGGUGAUUGCCAGGUCAUGGUUUUGUCAUUGCAGAUAGAAAAUCACGUACUCUUACAUUACGUUGAGCCUGAACUGUUGCAAGAAUCGAAUGGAUGCUUACAAGAAUUAGCAGGAAAAGAUGAGUAUGAAAAAGUGUUGAGAUCAUUGAAUCUCUCCAGUAGGAGUUCAAGUAUGAUUCUCAAAUAUGACAAAAACGAAGACUUUGUGCCUUCUGGUAUGAUUCUCUGCACUUUAAGAGGGACUGAGCCUGUUGCGUGCUUGUUUUGUAUGAUCAUAGGAUUCCAGGGAACAACUCCCUGGAAACUUCAAGGAUGUGGGGAAAAAGAAUAGAAAUUUGGCGCGGCACGUAUUAUUUUUUUAUGUAGCGGCUAGGGAUUCUUAAGCUUCUUUCAAUAUUUUUUUUUUUCGAAUCGGUUUAAACAGAUUUGUCUAAAUGAGAUUUAACGAAUUGAUAAAAAAUUAUAUUUUUACUUUAAACCAAAUAAUAAAAAGAAGAGCGUGCACAAUCUUUUUGCUACUUGAACUAACCAUUUAAUAGAUUUGAUAAUUUGAAAAAUAAUACGAUAACUUUAUACGAAAAUAAUAUAAAUAAAAAAUAUAAAAAUAAUACGAUUUAAAAUUUUAAUAAAAAUUAUAAAUAAAUUUAACAAAACAAAAAAUAUAUAUUUUAUAUUUCGUAUUGAUACAAAUUAUAACAUAUAAUUUUUACAUAAAAUAUGACACAAAUAUACAAAUAUAUAAUAUUUUACAUAAUACAAUAUACAAAUGAUCAAAUCUGUCACCGAAUGGUGUCACGGCGCACAUUUUGUCAUUUCUGCUUUAUUGCAUUAUUUUGAGUUGUGUUCCACUGAUGUUUGAUAACUUUAGAUUAGGUUCAAUUGAUUUAAAUCUGAUGUUACUGAAUCUGGACCCACUUUAUAAACACAGUGAAGUAUAAAUUUCUCAAACUUUUGCAAUUCUAUUUUGAUCCGUCUCUUACCGUUUGUCCGUUUCUAGCAAAAUGUUCAAAGCCAUUGUUCAUUCAUGAAAAUUGUGUUUUCUAUGUUUAACAAGUAAUUCGAAUAAAGGGGAAUAAAAUAAAAUUAUUUCUUAAUCAAAUAACACAUACAUACAUGCAUAAUAAUGAUCAAAUGUUAAUUUUCAUUAAAUUUAGCUCUUAAUUGGUUAAUGGCUGUAAUAUGAGGCUUACAAAAUUAAUUUUCUUUCAAUUAAAAGUUCAAUUAGGUGAAAGUGAUUUUAAGAUUUCCAUUCAACUUUUAAACAUUUAUUAAAAACUCAAUAAAUAAAUAAAUAAAUAUUUUUAAAAAAUAAAAAUAUUGCUGCAUCAUGAUUGUGCUAAUCAAUCUGAUUAGAAUAUAAAAAAUCACAAAUAAAAAAAGGAAUCUUAUAAAUCCCAAACUUUACAAAGAUUUUUGUUAAUAUGAUCUGUGGGAACAUGCUUCAAUCUUAUUAAUCUCAAGUUGACAGCCAGCUUAGGAUUUACAUGGAAAACUUUUGUAAUUUUUUUUAUAACCUGUUGUUCUUCUCCCUCCAUAUCUAAAAAUAUAAGCAUUCAAAAUAAUGAAAAUCAAGGAUUUCUUGUAGCUUUCUUAUCUAAAAAUCCAUUUUUUGUUUUACGAAACAAGUUGAUUUUUAAAACUCUGUUUGAUUUUUUCAGUUUUGUGGAGCAUUAGUUGAGCAAGUAUCAAAGAAGUUGAGACAGGUUUUGUUUGGCUGAUCAGCUCAUCAACAAGUUAUCUCAUAGGAAAAAUCUCAGUUAAAAUAGAUUUUGGUUUGCUUUACCAUCCACCAAAUAUCUUUUCUAAUAACCUGUCAAAGAUUUACAUACAAACUGGUGGAUGGUUAGCUCAAGUGAUAAAAAAAAUUAUGUUUUUCUUCUUAUUAUUUGAAUUUGAAUUUGUUAAAACAUUGUAAAAAGGUAAUUUUUCAUAAAUUUACUAGGUCUAACACAGAUAAAUUUACUUAGAUCAACCUAAAAAGAAAAUGUAUUGGAUAAAGUUUAAAAAUCUUUUAUGGUUAAAUAAAAAAGGAUUUACAUACAAAUAAAUAAGGAUUAAUAUUCGAAUAAAUCAUCAAAUUUUAUUUUGAAAUGCAAAUAAGUCAUCGAGAUUUUAUUAUAUGAAAUUAAAACUUUGAGCUUUUUUUUUAUUGUAAUUAUAUCCAUUAAAUUUUAAAAUUGAAUGAAUAAUGUCCAAUUGAUAGAAUUUUGGGUAAUAUCUUGAUUCCUAGGUUGGAAAGAUUUUAAAAGUGAUUUUGAGGGAAAUUUCAUGGACAAAUAGAUUUGGGAAGUCAAAAUUUGUCAUGGGGAACUUUUUAAAUUUUUUUGCAUUUUUAAAAAUUUUUUUGAAAAUUUCAAUUGAAUUUUUUGACUGUGUUCAAGUUUUUCAAUCGGAUUCCUACGAGUUUUUUAGUUUGCAAUGACUUUUCGAUUAGUGUUCUAGAAUUUGGUGAUCAAACCCAGAUUUCUACCAAAACCUCAAUAUCAUCCUGGUGAUGGUCGAAUUUUCCAGCAAUAUUUGCAGAGUCUGGCCACAGUGUUCAUCAACCUUUAGGGAGAGAAGUAGAGGAAAAAAAUAAAGGGGAAAGAGAGUUGAAGCAAUUCUAAAAGCAAAAAAAAAAACAAAAUUUGGUCUUAAAUAUCCAGAGUUAAACGACGUCGUUUUUCAUUUUGAAAUUCACCCAUGAUGCGUUUUGCCUUUUACCACCCGACCUGUUUUGUGACUUGACUUGCUACUCAGCAGCCAUCGCCCAAGUUGAGCCGAGAUGCGAUUUAAGCCACUUUAAUCGGUUUCUAUUCCUAUAGCUAAGCCAUGAUUCAAGCCAAGCCAAGCUAACUUCACUUUUUGGUAAUUUUCUAUUCUUUAAUUUAAUUUAAUUGAUUUUUCUCAAUAAAAAAAGAAUUUUUAAAAUAAACUUAUGAUUCCUAUGAAAUUAUUGAAAGAUUUUCAUGAAAAAAUUUUUAAUUAUAAAUUCUACUAAAUUAUUUGAGAAUUUUAUAAAAAAUAAAAAUUUUAAUCAUACCAAAUUAUUAGAAAAUUUAAAUAUCUAAAUUAAGUAUUAUCAAAUUAUUGAAAGAUUUAAUGAGUUUUUUUAUCAAAAAUAAUUUUUUUAAUCUUAUCAAAAUAUUAAAAGAUUUAAAUUUCAAAUUAAAACUUACUAAUCUAUUUGAAGAUUUAAUGAUUCUUCUUAAUACAAAUUCAUAAAUAGAUUUUUGAAUAAAAAUAUCACCAAAUUAUUUGGGAUGUGCAUUCAAAUAAAAUCUUGAAAAAUUAUUGAAGGAUUUUAUUGUUUGUUUAAGGUUUUGGAUAACAUGAAAUCAAUUGGUAUUAUUUUUUGGAUGAAUGUUAUGAAUGUAUUAUAACUUUCUUCAUACAUAAUCAUACUUUCAAACUUAGUAGUAAUUUCAUAAGACUAAAAUCUAUUAUUUUAAAGAUACUUAAGUUAAACUUGAGAUUUCUCUUUAAAAUGAAAUAGAUUCAGUUAAAUAUUUAAUCGUAUCUAAAUAAAAAAAUUAUUGAUGACUCAUAAAAUUAUAUUUAGUAAUAGUUUCAUAAUAUAUGUUAUGAUAAUUUGACAAUUUCAUUCAAAAAAGCUAAGAGUUAAACCAGUAAAUAAUUUUAUAUUAUCCAAGCUUGACUUAAUAAUCACCUAAUUAAGAAAACAUGAAAAUAAUCUCCUAAUCACGAAUCAAACAUAACUUAGUAAGAAAAUUUCUCUAGUAGCUUAAAAGUUUGUACUUUUUAAUCUAGCAUUUUCUCUAACUUUUUUGGAUGCAUACAAGUGUUUUUUAGGUUUGAUAAUUUAUGAAUUUAUAUCAUAUUUAUUUUAUGUUAAAUAUAUAUAAAAUAUGAAAAUUAUUAUGAUAUUAUUUAUGUUGACAUAUUAAAUACAAAAUAUAUUUUUUAAAUUUUUAUUAAAUUUAUAAAAUUUUUUAAAAAAAUUUAAAUUAAAUCACUUUCAUUUUUUUUUUCAUACCAUGUUAUUUUUUUCAAUUUAAAUUUUUUUCUUCUCUUAGGAUAAUGUUUUUAUUUUCUAAUUCAAAUUUGGUUUUUAUUUUCUCAAAAUUUUGUUGCCACUGAAGUUGAUGGGCUAAGCCCAAAGUGGUCCCUAGAGAGUCGCCUUUCAAUAACCUUUUUGUAUAGGGACCUAGGCCCACUAUGUGAUGGUUCCAUGACUUUGUUGAUAAUAAAAGACUAUUUCAUGUCAUAGAUUAGGACCUGACCAAGCAAAAACAGCCAUUUAUGUUGUGGAAUUUAUUAAAGUUUAAGGUGGACUUUAUUUUAAUUAAUAAGCCAACAAUAAAAGAUAAAGACUCUUUAGAAGAAAUUAUAUCCUUGUCUCAACAUUUAUAGAAUAACCCCAAAGGAAUUUUUUUUAAUUGAUUUUUUCCCUUUUACCAAGUAAAUCGGCAUGAAAUACUAACAAUAUUUGUGUUAUCUUAAGUCAAAAAUCAAGCAAAUAAUAUAAAGGCAACAUGAUUCUUACAAGAUUGAUGAAUAUACAUACAAGAAAUGAGCUUAUAUAUAUUGAUUUUUUGAAUUUCUAUUAAAGUUUAAAUUCUGGAAUUGAUUUGAGUACUAUUGAACUAUUAUAUAAUUUGGUGAUUCAUGAAGAAGUGAAAAUCCUAUAAAAUUAAUGAACAAGAAAAUAUUGAUUAUCAAAACAUUUUUUUAACUACAACACCCUUUUGUAACUGAAUUGACUAAGUUUCAAUAAUUUUCACAUUUUCAUUUUAUUUUCUUCUAAUGAUCAAUAUGAUCACAUCAAACCACCCAACCUAUCAAAAGAACUAAUUUUAUUGGUGAGCCAAGAAAAUUGAUACACCUAAAAUUGUUUUAAUAAUUGAUAAUCAUAUUUGGCAGGCCAACCUAAAUGAUUAAUUAAUUUAAUUUAUUUCAACAAUUACUUAUUAGGUUAUUAUAAAUAGUUUUAAACCACUUAAUUUGAUUUAAUAAGAGUUUAGAUUUUACCGCACUUUCAGUGUGAUACAGUUGAGUUCAUCAUAUUAUCAAUUAAAUUUAAAUGUCAAUUCUAACGAGUUUUAUUUGAUAUAAAUUUUUUUAUAAAUUUUUUUAAUUGUAACUUUAAUAAUUUUUUUAAUUGUAAUUACAAUAAUUUUUAACAUUAUUUUUUAUUUUAUUAAAAUUAAUUUCAUCAUCCAUACAAAUAAAUUUUUAAUUGCCUUUGAACAAAAAAGCAUAAAUUAUUGCAUUUCCUAUUAAAAAAUAGUACUAUUUUUCCUUGCCACUCCAACCAUUUUUGUAAAUUCUAAUGUCUUAAAAGAGAUUCGAACAUUGUUUUUAGACUAAAGAGAUUAUGUCAAUGAAUUUCUUUAUGUCAAUGAACUUCUUUGCACUUUAAUUGGGGCAUAGCCUGUUGCUUGCAUGUUUUGUAUGGUCAUAGGAUUUCAGGGAUCAACUUCUUGGAAAGUGGAAAGUAGAAUAGCUCCUCAGUUGAAAGUUCAACAAUGCGGGAAAAAAGAAUAAAAAAUUGGCACGGCUCGUGUAAACACCUAAUUUUUUAGAUUCAUUGAAAUGGAUCACCGCUUGCAUUCAUAAUUUUAAUGUGUUUAAUUUAAAUUUAUUAAGACAUUUUGAUCAUAUUUAUUUCAUAUAUAGAGUUCAAUAAUAAUAAAAUAUAUAUUUUAUUAUUAAGACGUUGGAUAAUAAUAAAAAAUAUAUUUUGAUUAUGCUCAUUGCAUAUUAAGUUCAUUAAUAAUAUAAUUUAUAUUUUAUUAAUUAAUAAAAAAAAGUAAAAAAUGAAUCCCAUAUUUUCGGAAAUUUGAUCCCUACUCAAAACAUCAGGGAUUUGAUUCCCUUAAACUAUGGGAUCUAAAGAUUCCUUAAAAAGAUUCCUUCACUUAAAAUAUGGGGAGGCCAAUUUAAACCAAAAAAAGAAAAGAAAAGGUUAAAUAUAAUGUAUUAUACAAUUUUUAUCAAUUUAAUAUUUUAAAAAAUAAAAAUAUCAGUUUGAUAUUUUAAUUUUUGUUCCAUCAUUUACUUUUGUAUAUGAGAAUAAUGUGUCAGUUAACAUGUUGACAAGACAUUAACAUUCAAUAAAAUUAUAAUAUGUAUAAAAAAAAUCAAGUUAGUAUCACAUCGUUAAUUGUUACGUUAAUAUUAAAAAAUUCAAAAAAAAUAAAAUAUUAUAGUUUAAAUUUUUUAAAAAAUUGAAAUAUUAAAAAAUAUUAAAAAAUUAUGAAAACUUAAAAAACUCAAAAAAUUAUGAAAAAUUCAAAAGAAAUAAAAUUUUAAUAAAAAUAAAAUAUUAUUCAAAUUGAAAAUUUUUUUUUAAAUUUUAAAUUUUAAAAAAAUUAUAAAAAUUUUAAUAUUUAUGAAAUAUUUUUUGAAUCUUACAAUUUUAAAAUUUUAUAUAUUUUUAUGAAUUUUUAGAAUUUUUUAUUUUUAUUUUUUGGAUUCUUUAUUAAUGUAUUAAUUUUUUUAUUUUUAACUUUUUUGAAAAAAUUUCUCUAAUUUUUUAGAAUGUUUCAGAUUUUUUAAUUUUUUAAAAUUUUUCAUAAUUUUUUAAAAAUUUUAAAGAAUUUUUUUAUUAAUUUUUAGAUUUUUUGAAAAAAUUUUAGACUUUUUUGUUGUAAAUUUUUUUUAAAUUUUUGUGAAUUUUUUAAUUUUAAGAUCAUUUUAUUUUUAUAAAAAUUUUUAUUUUUGAAAGUUUUCUUAAUUUUUUUAUUUUUAAAAAUAUUUUAAAUUUUAUUUUUUUUUCAAAAAUUUCAUUUAAUGUUGAUGUAAUAAUUAAUGAUACCACGUUGAAUAAAAUUUUUGAGUUACAUAAGUAUUUUAUUAUAUGUUUAUAUCACAUUAAUAAAUUGAUUAACGAUAUUAAUUCGAAUUAUAAAAUAGAUAAUAAAAUAAAAUUUAAAGUAAUAAAUUAAAAAUUUUAAUUUUAAGUACUAAACUAAUAAAAAGUUUAUAAUACAUGAGUCAUUUUUAUAUUAAAAAAAAAGCCUCAUCCAAAAUCCCGUCACCACUUGUAUGUCACUGGCCUUACUUCAAUACGAACUAACCACCACAACCCCCAACCGUGACCACCCAUUGCCGAAAACAAGGAAACACAUGGCCAAAAAAAAAACAAACCUACAACAGAAACGACAAGUACAGCAGCACCGAGACCACUGACUCAGACCACAUCCUGAACAUACUGUCCAUUAUCACCAUCCGCCGAAUACUCAUCAACGCCAUUACCCCAUCAACCCACCACAAUCGAAAACCAUCCCUUGCCCACCACUAGCUAGUUGACAACAUACAACCCCUCUUCAACAUCAAUCAAAGCUCACCCAAAAAAAAAAAAAAAAAAAACUCGCACACACAAAACAAAAGAUCAUCUUCAUCCCACAAGGGGAACACCAAUAUAGCAAACAAUAGAAUAAAAAAUUUAUAAAACCAAAGGAGAAAGAAAAGAAUGUUUCAUUUGGAUUUUAGGUUUUGCAAUUUAUAGAAGGCUUUUGGGAAAUCUCAAAGGUGAAAAGAUAGAUCAAAGAAGUAGGAUCCAGGACUUUUUAGCAUAGUUGAUAAUCUCGUUUCAAUGUUAGCGAUUUGUUUCAAUUAUAUUAAAAUAUAAUAUAUUUAAAAAUAAUUUUUUGUAUCGAAUUUAAUAUUAUGUAAUAUCGAUUGUUUGUGUUGAUUUUGAUUGAUUUCAAUGAAUUUAAGUAAAUUUAUUUGUUUUAGUUGAUAUGUGAAUGUAAAUUAUAUUUUGUAAUUUUUAAUUUAUUUUUUGUUAUUUAAUUAUUUUUAAUUAAAUAAAAAUAAAUUAAUUGACAAAAUAAUUUUUAAAAAUUAAAAUUUUUUAUUUUUAUUGUAACUUAUUUUUUUAUAUUUUAUUUUUUAAAACUAAAAUUCAUAAAUAUUUUAAUACUUUUUAAGAAAAUAAUUGUUCGUCUUUUUUAAAGUUUAAAAAUCAUGACAUUAAGAUUAAUUUUUUUUAUCUAUUUUUAUAUUAAUAUUUGCAUAAAAAAUAUUUAUUUAAAUUAUAUGAUCAUAUUACAUGUUUAAAAAUAUUCAUUUGAUUUUAUUUCUUCCAACUUGUAGAAAGAAGUUUUGGUGUGCUAGACUUGGGCUUCCUUUCAUUUAUUUGGACUCAAGCCCAACUUCAAAUUAGGAUUAAUUUCUAAAUUCUAGUUUAGUUUUAUUUUAUUUUGUUUUUAUGUCCUUAGCUAUUUGUUCAUUAGCUUAUUUUAUCUUAAUACAUUUUUAAAAAAAUUAAUUAUGAGAAUGAUAUUAUUUGUAAGUAGGAUUUCAAUGAUGAAAUUUUAUGAAAUUAAAAAUGAAUGAUUUUUUAGAACUUUUUAAAAUGAGGAUCUUAUGUUUAAAUUAUUAUAGAAUGAUGGAUAAUUUAAAUAAAGGUUUAAUAUUAAAUAAAAAUUAAUAAAAUACUUUAAAUAAAAUUUAUAAUAAUUAUCUAAUAGUGAAAUUCUAAGAAAUUAAGAAUGAUUGGUUUUCUUAGACAUUUUUAGGUGAAAAAAUAUUUUUAAUUGUUUUCAAAAUGAUUAAAAAUUUAACAUAUUUUCAAUAUAAUAAAUCAUAAAAUAACAAUAAUAAAAAUUAGAUAACCAAAUAAUUGAAAGCUAACAUUUUAGGAUUUUUUAAAGGAUAAAUGUAGAUUAAAAUCAAUGAUAAAUUCUAGAUGGAUUACGAAUUUGUUAUUUUCUAGAGAAUUUUUUUCUGAAUUUUGCCAAAAUGAUAGAAAAUUAAAAAAAUAAAAGGAAUAAAAUAUAAUAUGACAAAAUAAUUAGUAACAAAGAAAAAUAAUAAAAAUAAAAAUAACUAGAAAUUAUUAAGAAAUUAAUGAAUAAUGACAAAAGCUUUCUAAGUUUGGAAAUAAUAAAAAUCGCCUUAAUCGUAAAAUUAGAAGAAAAUAAAAGAGUUAAUUUUAUGAAAGGUUCCUGCAUAUGAAUAUCCGUUUGAAUUUUUUUAGAAUGAUAAAAAAUUUAGAAAAAAAUGUUCUAAUACCAACUAUUUAUAUUUAUUCCUAAGUAAGAAAAAUAUGAAAAAAAUAAUUUUUAUAUUUCUAUCAUAUUUAUUUUUUUAUCAAACAUGUAUAAAAUACAAAAAUUAUUAUAUCAUAUUUUAUGUUGACAUAUCAAAUAUGAAAUAUAUAUUUUUUAUUUGUUCUAAAUUUAUAUAUGAUUUUUAAAAAAAAUUUUAAACUAUAUUAUUUACGUGCUUUUUUUCAUUGGAGUAUAUCACUUACAAUUUUUUUUUUUUAGUAUAAUGCUAUAAUUAUCGAACUAAAAUAAAAAUUUAUGUAAGAAUUCACCACUUAUAAAUGUGAAUUCCAUGUAAAAUUUUAAUAAAUUACACAUAAAUUAAAUUAUAAUUAAUUAAUUAUACUACAAUAAUUAUAAAUAAUAUAUAUUUUUAGUAUCUUGAUAUGUUAUCUGGUUUAAUAAAAUUUUAGCAUUUAUAAUUUCUGUUUUUAUUAAUUAUGUCAAUCAUCAAACUAAAUACUCAGAUCUUUCUAUUACCAACUAGGCUAAUUUUAUUUGAAUAAGAAUGUAAAUUCGGUUAAUUGCUACUAAAGUUUAAUGUUUCAAAAAAGCUGCAUUUCAUUUAUUAGCACUAAGGCAAUCUAUGCUAGGAUGAUUUCCUCUCAAUUUUUCUUGUUCUGGGACAAAUUAUUGAAAACUGGAACUAUUUAAAUGGCAAGUUUUAUUUAUAGGAUCAAACUUCAAAGAUAAAGAGGAUAAUCGACUAGAUCAUUGGAUCGACAAGGAAAGGGCAUGGUGGAGUAGGAACCUGGACAGCACCAUCGAGCAUCAUUGUAACAGUCCUCAUGGAUGGCCUCAUAAAUGGAUUUUCUUGUACACACCAAAUUGCCACUUUUAAUAACAUCUCCACUUUCACCACAUCACUUCUAGCCUCUUCAUCAUUUUCCACCAGCUUUUCAACUAUGCCUUCUCUGUAGCAUUCGAAUGCCCAUUCUGUUAAUAUUGUUGCUUCCUCCUUCUCAACUUCAACACAUCUUCUGCAACAUAUGAUCUCUAACAGCAUGACUCCAAAACUGUAAACAUCUACCUUCACUGUGACUGGGGUGUUUCUGAACCACUCUGGUGCCACAUACCCUUUAGUCCCUCUUAUGCCGGUCAGCGUUCGAGUGUUGUUGCUGAUCAAAAGCUUUGACAACCCAAAAUCAGAUAUUUUAGCGGUAAAUGAAUCAUCCAAGAGUAUAUUUUGUGGCUUUAUGUCACAGUGGAUGAUUUGUGUGUUGCAUUCUUCAUGCAAGUAUGUGAGGCCUUUUGCAAUCCCUGAUGCAAUUUGCAGUCUUCGUUGCCAACUAGGCCUUAGCACUCCAAAAAGGAAGCCAGCCAAGGAACCAUUUUGCAUAAACUCAUAGAUCAGAAGUCUAUGCUCUCCUUCAUCACAAUAGCCAAGUAGUCUCACCAAAUUCUUGUGGUGGGUUUGGCCAAUGACCUUCACUUCUGUUUUAAAUUCCUUUUCACCCUCUUGGGCAAACUUUUCUAAUUUCUUGACUGCAACAUAAUUUCCAUAACUUGAUGGCAAUUCUCCUUUGUAAACCGUACCAAAAGCGCCCCUUCCUAGUUCUUCUUUGAAUAUGUUUGUGGCUUGUUCAAGAUCUUUGUAUGUGAAAGAACGCAGAUGAGUCUCCAAAUCUCUUCUGCUAGGAAUAGCGUCUAAAUAUUGAAGUCUUCUUUGAUAUAAACAGAAGAAGAUCAGAGAAAUUGCAACUAAAAAACAGAAGUUGAAUACGGCAGAGGUGCCUAAGAGAACUGAAAGGAUCAAAAUAACUUGAUUCUGAUUUUCAUUGCUUGGAUUUGGAGUGGCUUGGUUUGUCCUAGAGGUAUUUGACUUUGGUACCUUGAAGAGAGCUGUUCUAUCUAUAACAUCUCUAUCAAACCGCCCAUUUGAAAGUGGUAAUUUCUUUUUCCAACAAGUUCCAUUGCCAUCUGGACUUACAGUUGGAUCCUGUAAAAUGGCAACUGCACAAGAACAGUCAAGAAGGCAAGAUUGCCUACAUUCCAACUCAGUUGCAGGUUUCAAUAUCCCAUAGUCACUGAAAGGAAAAUCAGCGAACGACAUUGGCUUGAACUCAAAGCGAUCUUCCCCAUUGGUGGAUCCGUCCGGAUUGCAAUCUCCAGGGUAGCUUGUGUAAUCUUGUUUGCAGCCCGUGUAUGGAUUAUUUUCAUCCAAGAAAGAAAAUCCAGGGGGACAUGUGCAAUUAGGCCUCCUAUCAUUGAUAAGUUCACAAAUACUGUUAUAACCACAAGGGCCAUUUCCGAGUGUAGCUGUACUGUCUACAAAGCUACGACAGAUGUCCCUAGGCCUGAACCACAAGACAGACCAUUUUUCACCACCACUGGGGUUCCUUGGAUAAGAGUAGAGAGUAAAAACUCCAUAAAAAUCAAGUGUUGCCCUGUAGUAGUUUGAGUCUGGUUUUGGAACAGCAUUUUCUGGUGCAAGGUUGCGUGGACUUCCAGUUGAAUUCUGGAUUUGGAUAUGCCCUGACUUGUUGAAGAUCAACCGAGAACCGGUUUCAAAACUUAAAUAAUUAUUGUAAGGUUUUCCAGUGAACAUAUCUAUUUGGUUAAGUAUGAGAGAUCCUUCAUGGAAACGAAGUUGAUAUUUCCCCUUAUUGUAACAUGUUUCAUCCAAAGCUGAUAAAAGAUAGCCAUCAACAUCCAAUUCUUGAGUCGGCAAGAUGGUAUCGGUUGGAUAUUUGAAGCUUUCCCAUAUGUUGGCUGAGUUGUUGCUUGCUAUCACAAAAUUCCCUGUAUCAAGCAUGGCUGCAUGUGACACUUGAGAAUCUUUAGUAAGGCUUUCGGAUCUCCACAACUCUUUGUCUUUGGGGUCUUUAAGCAUAAGAUGUCCGGUACUGGUGAGCUCAACCUUUGAAUCUCUAUCAGUUGCUGGACUCUUUCUAUUAGCAUACCAUACUAUAGUUCUUUCCGGGAUCUUAGCAUACCAUAUUGCAAGUAGGAACCGAUCUUUUUCGCCUUGAAUGGGAUAAAAACCAAAGGCAAAAUCACCUGAUGGUGAUUGCCAAGUCAUGUUUCUAUCAUUUGCAGAUAGAAAAUCACCUACACUUACAUUACCUUGAGCCUGAACUGUUGCAAGAAUCCAAAGGAUCAUGCCUAUAAGAAUAAGCAGGAAAAGAUGACUGUGAAAAAGUGUUGAGAUCAUUGAAUCUCUCCAGCAAGAGUUCAAGUAUGUUUCUCAAAUGUAACAAAAACGAAAACUUGGUACCUUCUGGUAUGAUUCUCUGCACUUUAAAAGGGAUGAGCCUGUUCCCUGCUGGUUUUGUAUGAUCAUAGGAUUCCAGGCAACAACUUCCCGGAAAGUGCAAAAAGAAUAGAAGUUUACACGGCACAUACUUUGAAAUGUCUGCUUUACUUUCAAGUAGAAAUUUCUCGAACUUAUUACCGUAAAAAACAAGCUAUUUGUCUGUCUUUGUACUUCUAUUGUGAUCCAUCUCUUACCAUUUGUCUAUUUCCAACAAAAUGUUCAAAGUCAUUAAAUAUUGCUAUGACCUUGGCUAAUUUUACCAAGUGAUACGCACAAAAGAGAAGAAAAUAAAAUUUUUCUUAAUGGAAUAUAUAAAAAAUCAAAAACUACUUUCACUCUUCAAAAAGUGGUUCAAAAUACUACUAAAGGAUUCAAAUUGUUACUCGUACUAAUGAUCAAAUAACUUAUACAUAUAUGCAUAAUAAUAAUCAAAUGUUUAUUUUCAUUAAAUUGAGCUCUUAAUUGAUUAAUGGCUGUAAUAUGUGGCUUAAAAAUUAAUUUUCUUUCAAUUAAAAGUAUAAUUAGGUGAAAGCAAUUUUAAGAUUUAGAUUCAACAUUUUAACUUUUUCUAAAAACUCAAUAAAUAAAAAAUUUAUUUAUAAAAGAAAAAAAUAUUGCUACGUCAUGAUUGAGCUAAUCAAUCUUAUUACAAUAAAAAAAAAAAAAUCAUAAAUAAGAAAUAGAAUCUUAGAAAUCCCAAACUUCACAAAGACUUUUGAUUACUUGUUUAUGAGCUGAUUAGCCAAACAUAACCUGUCUAAACUUCUUUGAUACUUGCUCAACUAAUAGUCUAGAAAGCUGAAAUAAUCAAACAUAGUUUUUAAAAAACAACUUGUUUUGUCAACAAAAAAUGAGUUUUUUUUUAGAGAUGGACAGUAAGAAAGCUACAAAAAAUCCUUGAUUUUCAUUAUUUUAAACAUUAUUUUGAAUGCUUAUAUUUUUAUAUAUGGCGGGAAAGUACCAACGAACCAUCAAAUAUCUUUCUUAAAAGCCUAUCAAAGGCUUACAUACAAAUCAACUCAAUUAAUAAAGAGAGUGUGCUAUUUUUCUUUAGUUUUUAUUAUUUAGGUUUGAAUUUGUUGGGAAUAUGUGAGAAAGUUAUUUCAUACAAAUUCAUUAAGCUCCACGUAGAUAAACCUGCUUGAAUUGAUUCAAAGAGGGGAUGUACUAGACAAAACCCAAUAACCCUUGACCACUAAAUUAAAAAAAGGAGUUAUAUACAAAUAUAUGAAGUUUAAUAGCCAAAUAAACUCUCGAACUUUAUUUCAAAAUGCAAUCAAGCCAUCGAUUUUUUAUUACAUGAAAUUAAGACUAAAAUUUUUUAUUUUAUUUUAAUUAUACUCAUUAAAUCUUAAAAUUGGAUGAAUAAUGUCCAAGUGAUAGAUUCUUACAAAUAGUAUUACCUUAAAUAUUUGUCAUUUAGUUCAUCCAAAUGAAUCUAAGUAAGCAUUUUUUACAAAUUAAAUCAUCCAAUUAAAAAAAUUAAGUAAAAAAUAAAUAUUUUAUACCAUCAAGUUUCUAAUAAAAUAAAAGUUUAUAGGAUUAAUUUGGUGCAAUAAAAAAUAAAAAAUUUAUUUGCAUGUUGCAAUGAAGUCAAGCUUAUUUGAAUAUUAUCUCAAUAAAAAAAAGGAUAACUAUAUAUAUAUAUAUAUAUAUAUAUAUAUAUAUAUAUAGAAGAUAAAAAUAAGAAAUACAAUUGGCUACUAAAAUACUACUAAGCAUAAAUACUACAAUCAAUCUUUAUAUAUGUCAUUUUUUUUUUUUUUACAAAUAAGGCUGUAAUUUAAACAUAAAAAAAGUGAUGAUGGGUAUUGAAAUUUAAAUUUUAAACUUGUUAAUGUCAUAUUUUAGAAGUAAUUACAUAAAUAAACUAAAUUAUACUCCUUUGUUUUUUUUUUGCCAACAACCAUUUCAAUGGAUUAAGAAAUAGUAAAUUUAUUGCAAAUCCAAACUCUCAAUAGUAAAUUUAUUUCGUUCAGUCAUGUUUAGCUAUAUAUUCAUUUUGAAAUCUCUAAUUUGUUGUAUAUAUUUUAAAUAUAUAUUUUUAUCAAUAUUUUUACUAUUUCAGUUUGUGAACAACCAUCUAUCCGUUUAGAUUGUAAAAUUGUAUUUAACACUAUCUUUACUUUAGCACAUGGUUUCUCUGAGAUUUUCCUCUAAUCCGCUUAACCUGCCAUUGGUGCCCAUUGCUUUUUUUUAGGCAACUGACAAGCCGAAGAAAACCCUUUAUUACAUGAAAUCUACUGAUUUAAACAUUGGUAGAAAAUUGGCUAUGGCCGAUCAAUGUCUCUAUUUCCAAUUGACUAGGGUUUGCAGACAACUUGCCCGGAUUCUUCCUCUAAUUACCAACUGGAUUUAACCCAAAUUCAUUCUUCAGUCUUCAGGCAUUGGUCUGUAGAAAAAAGUUUAGACCAAUGAGAAUUGGAUGACUUAAAUCAGCAUUCAAUGUAGAAUGCAGUCAGAAACCAUCUUCCAAUUUCUUCUUCUUUCUCGUUGUAGGCACUUAAUUUGGUCCAAAUUCGGAUCAAUUAGGCCUGAUCCAAAUGGGUAAGCUCAUUUUUUUUUAAUUUUUGUAUUUUAUAUUUAUUAUUUUUGUAUUUAUAUAUUUUUCUUUUAUGUAUUUAUUAUUUAUUUUUUAUUAUUACUAUUUAUUAAUAUAUAUAUCCUUAUUAUUAUAAUUACUAUUUUUUUCUUUUCUUUUUCUUUCUUUUCUAUUAAUAUUUAUAUAUAUAUUUAUCUGAUUAUAUAUUAUAAUUUAUCUAUUAUUUAUUUUUAGUUAUCUGUUAAUAUUAUUAUUUAUCUGAUUAUUUUCUUUUUAAAUUAUCUAUUAACAAUUUUAUUUUUUUUUUUCUUUUUUUGGCUGAAAUUUGGAGAAUCCUACCGUGAAUGGGGAUUCAAUCAGAGUCCAUAUUAGAUUCAAUGAUUGAAUCCCAAUCCAAAAAGGAGUUGGAAUUGAUUAGAAACUCUUCUGAUCAAUCCCUAAAAAAGGACCUUCGGAUCAAAGGAAAAAACAGAGAAAAUGAGUUACUGACUGAGAGAAAAGACAGAUACAGAGAAGAUUUAAAAGCUAAAAAGGUUUUGGUGCGUUUAGAACAGCUCUAGGAAUCGGCAGGAAUUUUUGGAGAAUUUUUGUAAAUUUUUUUCUGAAAAUUUCUAAAAAAUUUUCAGAUUCCGGUUGAAUUUUUUGACAAGGUUGAAUUUUUCGAUGACUAUUUCGGCCAAGUUUGAAGUUUCCGGCCAACUUCCCAGUUUUUGGCAACCAUUUCCAGAAACCGAUCAAUUUUUCGGUGAACUUCCGGUGAAAAACCUAGAUUUCGACGAAAAUUUUCAGAAUCCGGCGACCAUUCAAUCGAAGUUUUUUGGGUUUUUAGAAGGAAAAGAGAGAGAGGGAAGAAGGGUUCUACUGAAAAAACGAAGGAAUCAACCUUAUAUACCAUUUCAAAACGACAUCGUUUCUGCGUUAAGUAACCCAGAGGAUCCGUGCGUUUUGUCAAGAUCUGACUCGAUCCGAGCGCGACCCGUUUUUGACCCGCGUGCGACCCGUGUCUCAAGCCGUUAGUCGAGCUAAGCCGACACCCUUGAGCCGCGUCUUCGAGCCAUUUUUUCUUCUUCAAGCUAAGCCGAGCCGAGCCACAAGUCGAGCCGUUCGCAGGUUUUUUUUUCCAUUUAUUUAUUUAUUUAUUAAUUAUUAUUAUAUCAAAAUUGUUUAAUAUUUUUAUUUUUAUUUAUUUUUUUAAAUAAAAUUCAAAAAAAUUAUUUUUGAGGAAAAGUUGAAAGUAUCAAUUUUCCUUAAAAAUAAAUUUAAAAAAAAAAAAAGAGGUUUUGAGGAAAAGUUGAAAGUAUCAAUUUUCUUCGAAAUUAAAAGUUUCUAAAAAAUAUUUUUGGAGAAAAGUUGAAAGUAUCAAUUUUCCUUAAGAAUAAAUUUUUUUUUUAAAAAAGGGUUUUGAGGAAAAGUUGAAAGUAUUAAUUUUUCUCGAAAUUAAAAGUUUCCAAAAAAUAUUUUUAAGAAAAAGUUGACAGUAUCAAUUUUUAUUAAAAAUAAAUUUUCAAAAAAAAAAGAUUUUAAGAAAAGAUGAAAAUAUCAAUUUUCCUCGAAAUUAAAGUUUUCAAAAAAUAUUUUUGGAGAAAAGUUGAAAGUAUCAAUUUUUCUUAAAGAUAAAUUUUCAAAGGGAUUUUUGAGGAAAAGUUGAAAGUAUCAAUUUUCCUUGAAAAAAAGCUUUCCAUAAAAAAAUAUUUUUGGGGAAAAGUUGAAAGUGUCAAUUUUUCUUAAAAAUAAGUUUUCAAAAAUGAAUUUUUGAGAAAAAGUUAAAAGUAUCAAUUUUUCUCAAAAUUAAAGUUUCAAAAGAAUAUUUUUGAAGAAAAGUUGAAAGUAUCAAUUUUUCCUACACAAAAACAAUCAUUUUUUUCCUUUUUAUUUUUUUAAUGUUAAAUAAUCCGACGAUGGAGCCUCUGCAAGUGAAACAGUAGUUUUCUUACAUACUUUUGAGGUGAGGGAAUUUUUUCAAUUUUUUGCUAAAAGUAUUAGAGUUAAUUGAGAACAAUUUCCAACAACUAAUUACUUGGUAAAUUUUUAGGGCUUAUUGGAUAACACAAAAUUAAGCUGGUAUCAUCUUCUGAUGGGCGUUGUGAGGGUGCUAUAACCUUUCUCACACGUAACCGAACUCCCGACCCUAUUCUGGUUAGUAGACCCGAACCUAUUUUUUAGGGAUCCUUAAACUUAGGUGUUCCUUGAAAGGAUAGAUUCCUUAGGUGGCCAAUCGCAUCUAGAUAAAAAAAAUUAGUGGUGACUCCUUCAAGUCAAUGUCUAGCGAUAGAUCCCCGAAUCUAGACGUUAUGACAACUUGACAACUCCACUAGAGACUCUGAGAGUCAGGCCAUCAAACAAUUUGUGUUAUCCAAAAGCCUAAUAAGAUUGAACCUUUUGUAUAUAUGUGUUAUUAUUCAUUCAUGUUUAUUUACUUUGUUAAUUAUGUCAUUCAUAUGCAUGUGCAUAACAUGAGCUCUAUACCCGAGUUUCGUCCCUCUAGGAGGGAGUAAAGUACCUAUUACUUUCGUGAGGUCUAAUGCUUCCGCAGUGGCUAGCAAAAUACUCCCACUUAAAUUGAACAUUUUUUGCUUGUAACCUGUAAUGGGUGAGGAUUAGGGUACCUUACUAUUCUGUGAUGGACAAGGAUGUAAGGAGCAAUUUAGGAACCUUUAGAUUUUGACCUUAAACCACAUAUAAUGAACCUUAAGAGUGCCUAACCUAUAGAUAGAGCCAUCACUCUUCCCUCUUAGAAUUGACCAGAAGCAUAGGGUUCAUUCUUUUUUUUCUGUGUGAUGUUUUAAUUUACUUAGUUAUUUAUUUAUUCUUUUUCUUUUUUGGCCAUACUAACCUUUUUCUCAUUCUUUUGCAUUGGUUCAUACGUAUAUCAUAAAGUUGCAUAAAGAACAUUUGCUUGAAAGACGAUCUUCAACAAAAUUUUUCAUUGACUCCACUGAACGACUAGUUUGUUCUUCAUCCUAUUGGCACCUUGUGAGACACCUAACGAAGUAAGAGUCCAGUCAAAAAAGAUUCAACUAAAGAAGGGGGAUUGUUUACUAAUUGGAUAUGAUUCUACCUUGUCUCAAGAAACAUCUAUCCUCUUCAAAUAGAAUAAUCUAGAGGAUCUGGUUGAUAUCUAAAAAAGAAUGAGUCCGUCAAGACAAGAAUAGUUCUACCAAAAACACGGGCAUAUAGCACAUCUUCUAGUAGUAGUUGUUGAUGAUCAACUAAUCAGAGCUGUAGCACAAUUCUGGGAUCUUGCAUACAAGUGUUUCAUCUUCAAUGAAGCUGAUAUGACUCCCACCAUCGAAGAAUAUUCAAUUUUGUUGGAUUUGUACCUCAAGGCUCUUGACAAGAUAUAUGUCAAAAAACACAAGUUAGGAUUUCGUAAAGGUCUAGUUUAACUCAUGGGGAUAGACAAGGAAGUUGUGGAUUCUUAUACAAAGAAGAAACAAGAACAGGUUUGCCUACCUUGAAAGUUUUUUCAUGAGUUCCUAUUGCAACAUGUCAAUAAAGAACGGGGGUUAGAUAUAUUUGCCUUAGCUAUAUAUGGAAUGAUGAUCUUCCCAAAAGUUUUAGGUUAUAUUGAGAUAGCGGUGGUUGACUUCAUCGAGAGUGUGAUCAAUGGUUGUAAUCUUUUAACGGUAAUAUUAGCAGAGACUGUUAGACCUUUGAAUUACUAUCGUCAAAAUAGAAGAUGCUUUAUAGGUUGCAUACAGUUAUUAUACUUAUGAAUGAAAAACCAUUUUGAGUGGGGAAAUGAUACUUUCUUGAAGCUUUAUAUCCGUAAUCGAGCUCCGAUCAAGGAAUUCUGUGAAAGUGGGUGGUCAGAACGAAAGUCUAAAAAGGAAUGGAUAACUUUCCUACAAAAGUUGACUAGUACCAAGGUGAGAUGGUUGGCCCCAUGGAUGAAUCGUGAGCUUAUGUUGUAUCAAUAUAGGGAUAAUACAGUGGUCCCACUUUUAGGUUUAUGGGGAGUGACAAAUUAUGCACUACUUCUAGUGAGAAGGCAGUUUGGGGGAGAACAGUUUAUUCUUAUGACUUAUGGGCUUCAUCAGUUAGAUUUCUCUUACAGUGAGUCAAAAGCAUUUCAGAGGAUGAAUGAGAUGAUUAAAGCAUGGAAAAAUCCCCAAAGAGUAAGUCCUGGACUGUUUACUGAUAAAGUCACUCCAGGGUACUUGGUUUGGAGAGCAAAACGAAGACAAGAAAUGGUAUUCACUUAUGAAAGCUUUCAACCACCAACAGAAAAAAAACUUGAAGAAACACCAUUAGAAUUAGAGUUUGCAACAAAAGAAUUUGAGUCUGAAAAUGGUAAGUUAAAGCAAGAAAUCUAGAAACUUUAAGAAGAAAAAGACCAGUGGAAAGAUAAAGCUGAAAGUCAUGAAGUUAAGAUUCACAAGAUUGCUAGAGAACGUGAUACAGCUAUUGAAGACCUAGCAAAGCUACACUAAGAACAUAAAAGGUUAUGUGUGAGAGAAAGGGCCAAAGAGAUAACCAUUGUUGAGCUGACUGAAGAAAAUGCUAGAUUGAAACAAGAGUAUAUUGAAUUGGAAGAAGACAGUACCUAAGUAUAGAUAAAGAAUAACAUGCUAAACAGUUAUUUGAGCAAGCUAAGAUAAAAGUUGAAUGAACAAAUAGACCACAUUAUUGCAUUGGUUAGGGAGCAUAGAGAAUUAUCAUACCAAGUCUGGUGUGGUAAGAGAGGGAACUUAGGAAAACAAAAAUACAUUGAGCACCUAACUACCCAAAUCUAUAAGGGGGUAUGCAAGGCAAGAAAGAUAGUGGAAGAGGCAGAGGCAUUGAAAUAAGAGGUGACCCCAGUAGGAGAACAUGAACAGCGUCUGUUGAACUUUAUUGAGGAAGCCAAGGCCCAGUAUGAACAGAUUAAACAAUUUUAUGGUUAUAAUUCUAGGAUGAUAAACUCAAUGUAGAUAAAAGUUUUUUGGAAUAAAUGAAAUCUUUUAGUUGAAUACUGUUUUUAAGGCAAAUGUUCUUUGCAUACAUGCAAUUUUCAUUCAUUGCAUUCUUAUUCAUUACACUUAAUAAAGCAACCAUAUGAUAGUCAUACAAAUUUACUAAUUCUAAGAUAUGUACUUAAGGUUUAAAGAUAGCUCUAUCUAGCGAGAACCCUACCCAUCGAUACAAUACAAGAUCCAAAGCCAGACAAAUGGAGCAGAAAAAUUCUCACAGAUUUGAAAAGAUAGAAAAAGCACAGGAGAAGAUUGAAAGUGAGUUGAGUAAGAUUUUGGAUGCUCUCAAUAAGCUGAAUAAGGGAAAAAAAGUUAAAGAAAAUACAAGCCAACAAGUUCCCCCAUUGCAAGAAGUGGUUGACCCUUUGUAUCCUUUAGGUUUUGGCCCACCUCAAGCCCAGUCUGCACAAGAGGUUCUACCAUAACACUUCGCAUAUCCAACAUAUCCUAGAAUGCCAUCAGCUUUCAACCCAGGGCAUUAUCAUAGCUAUGUAAAUCUUGUCUUUACUAAAAAGGCAGUAGACCAAUUCCUGAUCUAGAUGAUUUGAAAAGAUAAGAGUGGAAACUCAGGAAAGUUUUAAGAUUAGUAUGCUAGAACAAAGGCUACGGGUUGUGGAAGGAUUUGAUUUCUAUGGUUUAGUUGAUGUUACUGGGCUUUGCUUAGUCCCUAAUGUGGUCAUUUCUCAUAAGUUCAAAGUACCAUAAUUUAAAAAAUAUGAUGGUAUGAAGUGUCCCAAAACCCACAUCACCAUGUAUUGUCAAAGAUGGUAGCUCGUACUCAUGAUGAAAAACUUUUGAUGCAUGUUUUCCAAGAUAGCCUUACUGGCUUUACUGUCAGGUGGCAUGUUCAGCUGGAUAGGACCUGCAUUCACUCUUGGAGUGAUAUGGCUCAUGACUUUAUCAGUCAAUAUCGACAUAUUAUCGAUUUGGCUCCUAAUCAUUUAUCUUUACAGAACCUGAAGAAAAAGGCAAAUAAGUCUUUUAAAGAAUACACCUAGAGAUGGAGGGAUAUAGCUUCUCAGGUAUAACCUUCACUGACUGAGAAAGAGACCAUAGUGCUUUUUGUUAGCACUUUGAAACCUCUCUAUUACGAAAAGAUGAUAGGGAACGCAACAAAAAAUUUUACUGAUAUGGUAAUUUUUAGAGAAAUUAUCGAGAGUGUCAUCAAGAAUGGCAAGUUGAAAUGAGGUGAAGCAUCUAACAAAAGAGUCCUAAAAAAGAAAGAGACUGAAACUCAAGCUGUGAGCUUUGAUAGAUAGCAAUUUGAGGGUUAUCAAUCCUACUCACCAUCAGGAUACCUGUCAUAUUACCCUACUGUAAAUAACACUUUCCCUUACCCAUACCAACCAUUUGUAUAGUCACCUUACCCCCAAACAUAUCAAACCCCUCUAGGUCUUAAAAUACCAUAUACAGUCCUAACACUCAGCCUACCCUAAGACCCCAAAAUCGUCCAACUAAUCCUAUGGGUGGUCCACGGGAGUAAUGAACUACCCGUGAGAAACCUGUGUUUGACCUAAUUUUAAUGACUUAUACAGAAUUAUAUAGGGAGCUUUACAAUAGUCAUUUGAUUGCUCCUAGUAAAUUGGAACCCUUCAAGCCCCCUUACCCCAAGUGGUACGAUCCCACAGCCCAUUGUGACUACCAUUAUGGGAUUACUGGUCAUUCCACCAAAAAUUACACUGUUCUGAAACAUAAAAGUACAACGAUUGAUCAAGGAUGGAAUGAUUUGCUUUGAUACGGGAGAGGUGAUUGCACUGAAUGUUAGUGGUAAUCCCUUGUCGAAUCAUAAUGUGAAUGCUCUAAGUGAAGAACAUGAGCAUCAUUUGAAGAAAAAAAUGACAGAUAUCAAGACACCUCUCAGCCAACUAUUUGAUAUUUUAUGGAAGGCUGACAUGACACAACUGGUGAGUCCGCAUAAUUAUCAUGGAGUAUGUGUAGCCGACACUAGUUGUAAAUAUCAUAGUGGGGCAAUAGGCCACUUUAUUGAAACCUGUGAGCAGUUUCACCUAGAGGUGCAAAAACUCUUGGAUUCAUACCAGAUGGAGGUCUAUGAAAGAAGAGAAGACUUAAGAAGUGUUGAGAUGUCCAUGACUGAUAAGCCUGCAAAGCUAUUUUCAAAGCCGGUGACAAUCCAUUGUGGAAACAAGCUAAAGUCUAUCAUAAACAAACUCAUUCCCAGGUUGGUAACUUUUAAAGUUUCGACUCCCUUUUCAUACAAGGAUGACAAAGCUGUACCCUGGAAAUAUGGCUGUGAUAUAGUAGUUCAGGGGCAAGAAGAUGAUAUCUCCGAAGCUGAUGCUUCCAACAUAACUGGUGUAAGAGGUAUUACCCGAAGUGGAAGGUGCUACACUCCAAAAAUGUUAGAAAAGGCUAGAAGAGAGAAGACCAAAGAAGGAGAAGGAUAAAAUAAUCCUGAAGUAGAACCUGAAGAAGAUCGUUCGAAGUCGGUAUCAGAAAGAGAGGUUUGUGAAUUCCUGAGGCUGGUAAAACAUAGUGAGUAUUCGGUUGUUGAACAGUUGAAUAAAAUGCCAGCUCGAAUAUCAUUACUAUCACUGCUGCUAAACUCAAAGUCACACCGAAAUGUCCUGCUGAAAGUGUUGAAUCAGGCAUACGUGGUACAUAAUGUAUCUAUUAAAUAUGUGAAUCACUUAGCUUAAAAUUUAGUCAUGCCGAAUCACAUUUCAUUUAGUGAUAAUGAGAUUCCCUUGGAGGGAAAGGGAAAUGUCAAGGUUCUGUAUAUCACGGUUAAGGGUAAGAGCCAUAUCAUAGCCAAGGUCAUUAUCGAUUAUGGCUCUACUAUCAAUGUCAUGCCUAUGUCAACUCUGGUAAAGCUACCCAUUGAUUACUCUUAUAUAAAGGACAGGCAGAUGAUUGUGAAAGCUUUUAAUGGGACCAGGAGAGAAGUUCUGAGGGAUAUCAAGAUGUCCUUGCAAAUUAGGCCAUGCACUUUUAAUGUGAAGUUUCAAGUGAUGGAUAUCUUUCCAUCCUAUAGCUGUCUAUUGGAAAGGCCAUGGAUUCACAUGGUAGGAGCUGUGCCCUCUACCUUGCACCAAAAGAUCAAGUUUAAUGUAGAAGGUCAACUAAUAGUGGUAGUUAGAAAGGAAGACAUGCUAGUGACCCAACUAUUGAAUAGUCUAUAUGUAGAGGCUACCGAAGAAGCAUUAGAAUGCUCCUAUUGAUCUUUUGAAUUGGUUAAUUAUGUGGGUAAAAGACUUAAAAAUCAGCAUUUUUUAAGGAUAGUGAUGAGUCAAGUCAUCAACAAGGGCUGAUAUCCAGGACUAGGGCUUGGUAAAAACUUGUAGGGAAUAAAGAAACCCCCGACAGUGAUAGACAAUAGCGACAGGUUAGGCCUAGGCUAUGAGAUGGCAGAAUAAGAGAUCAAGAGAAGGCCAACAGGAAAGACAGCAAGACUAAUAGUUAUCCCACACCUGUAUGAGACUUUCAGACCUAGAGGAUUCAUGUACCCAGAUACAGGAAAAAAUGUAAAAAAUACUUUUACCCAGUUAACCAUUAAUGUUGUUAAAGAUGAAAUAAGGCUUAAUUAAGAGGAGUGGGUUCGUCUUUGUUCGUCAGAUUAUGAGCUGAAUAAUUAGAGUGCCAUCGAGAUGCCUGUGACUUUUGAGACUAAUACAAUGUAAUUAUAAUAUCCCAAUAGCUAUUGCCCAAGGCAUUGGGGUGAUCUUUCUUGUUUGGGCCAUUUAUCUUUUAUUAUUUUUAAUAAAAAAAUAAAAAAGAUGCAUUUUCAUUCAUUUCUUUUUGUAUCUUCAUUAUUUUCAUCUUUUCAAGCACAUCUUACCAACAUAUCCCAUUUCAUUCAAUUUCAAGUCUUUAAAUGAACAUGAAGAUAAUCAUGAUAACAAUCAAGAGGUUAGUUUUGAGAAUUCAAUUAACACUGAUAAACUUGACAAUAAAGAGAAUUCUGAGAAUAUGUUAUGCCUCCAAACCUAAUGAGAUUGAUUGAAUAAGAAAAUAAGUCAAUUGAGCCUCAUCAGGAGAUAGUUGACUUAGUGAAUCUGAGAGAUAAAGAGAAUAAGAAAGAUGUCAGAAUUGGUACUUCACUUUCAUCAGGAGAUACACAAUGAUUGACAGACUUACUUCGAGAAUUCAUAGAUGUAUUUGCUUAGUCUUACCAAGAUAUACGAGGGCUGAGCAUGGAGGUAGUGCAGCACAGAUUGCCCUUAAGGCCAGAAUGUAAGUCAGUUUAGUAGAAACUAAGACAGAUGAAGCCUAAAAUGGUGCUAAAGAUCAAAGAAAAGGUGAAAAAAUAAUUUGAUACAAGUUUUCUACAAGUGGACAAGUACUCAGAGUGGGUAGCCAAUAUAGUAUCCGUUCCUAUGAAAGAUAAAAAUGUAUAAAUACGUGUAGACUAUCAGGACUUGAAUAAGGUUAGUCUAAAAGAUAACUUUUCUUUGUCUUAUAUUGACACACUGGUAGAUAAUACAGCUAAGCAUUCAAUUUUCUCUUUUAUGAAUAGUUUCUUAGGGUAUAAUUAGAUAAAAAUGACUGCAGAUGAUAUGGAAAAGACUAUUUUCGUGACUAUAUGGGGAACCUUUUGUUACAAAAUCAUGCCUUUUGGGUUAAAGAAUGCUAGGGUAACGUAUCAAAGGGCCAUAGUAAAACUCUUCCAUGACAUGAUGUAUAAAAAGAUCGAGGUGUAUGUAGACGAUAUGAUUGCAAAGUCUUAUGAGGAUGAAGAUCAUGUCACCAGCCUCAGAAAGUUAUUUGAGAGGUUGAAAAGAUUCCAGCUCAAAUUAAAUCCAGCCAAGUGCACUUUUGAGGUAAAGUCAGGGAAGUUAUUAGGCUUUAUGGUCAGUGAAGAGGAAUUGAAGUCGAUCCAGAUAAGAUACGGGCUAUUCAAAAUUUGUCAUCUUCAAGUACACCAAAAAAAGUUUGAGGUUUUCUGGGGAGAUUGAACUACAUUUCUCGGUUUAUCUCUCAACUUACUUACAAAUGUGAUCUCAUAGUUAAGCUUCUCUGUAAAAAUAAUCCUAGAAAAUGAAAUGAGGAAUGUCAAGAGGCAUUUGAUAAAAUUAAGCAAUACUUGUCGAACCCUCCAGUGUUGGUGCCACCUGUUCCAAGGAAACCUUUAAUUUUAUACUUAACUGUAUGUGAAAAUUCAAUGAGAUGUGUGCUGGGGUAGCAAGACGAGUCUAGCCGAAAGGAAAGAGCUAUUUACUAUCUGAGUAAAAAGUUCACAGAAUAUGAAUCUAAGUACUCCUUAUUGGAGAAAAUGUGUUGUACAUUAGUGUGGACUGCCAAAAGACUCAGACAGUAUAUGCUUUAUCAUACCACAUGGCUCACAGCAAAACUGGAUCCAAUUAAAUAUAUCUUUGAGAAACCUUCUUUGUUUGAAAGAAUUGCUAGAUGGCAAGUAAUGCUCUCAAAAUAUGAUAUUAUAUACGUGAGCCAAAAAGUAAUAAAAGGGGGUGCUAUAAUGGAAUUUCUUACAGAUCGUGCUAUUAAAGAGUAUGAGCCAAUUAAGUUGAAAUUUCCUAAUGAAGACUUAAUGACUAUUUUUCAACUGGAGAAAGGGGAGCAUAGAGAAAAAUGUUGGAGAAUGUACUUUGAUGGAGCUGCCAAUGCCUUAGGGCAUGGAAUUAGGGCAAUUUUGAUUUCUCUAGAAGAACAAUACUGCCUUGUAAUAGCAAGGUUAAAUUUUAAUUGCACAAAUAACAUCGUUGAAUAUGAGGCAUGUGUCAUGGGCUUGCAGGCUGCUAUAGAUUGAGGAGUGAGAGCAUUAAAAGUGUUCGGAGACUCAGCUCUAGUUAUAUAUUAAUUAAAAGGAGAAUAGGAGAUGAGAGAUUCAAAACUGGUUCCAUAUCAUAAGUAUAUUCUAGAGUUGAUGAAAUAAUUUGAAGAUAUCUAGUUUGACCACUUACCUCGAGAAGAGAAUUUGAUUGCUGAUGCAUUGGCUACUCUGGCUGCAAUGAUUUGAAUUAAUGACAAUACUGACAUUCAACCCAUCAAGCUAGAUGUUAAGGAUAUACCAGCUUAUUGCUCUAAUGUAAAAGAAGAAGAAGAUGGAAAGCUCUGGUAUUAUGAUAUCAUACAGUAUAUUAAGGACAGUAGUACCCAGUUCAAGCAAUAAAAAAAUGAUAAAAGGGUCAUCCAAAGAUUGGCUAUGAGUUUUUUUUAGAUGAGGAUGUUUUGUACAAAAGAAGUCGAGAUCAAGUAUUAUUGAGGUGUGUAAGUAAGACUGAAGCGAAAAAAAAUCAUUGAAGAGGUACAUGAUAGAAUAUGUAAGGUAUAAAUCAGUAGACAUAUGAUGGCGAGACAAAUCAUGAGAGCAGGAUAUUACUGGUUGAUGAUGAAGAAUGAUUGUAUUGACUAUGCUCAUAAAUGCCAUAAAUGCUAGGUAUAUAUUGAUAAGAUCCAUGUUUCGCCGUCUGUUUUACAUGUUAUGGCACCACUAUGGCCAUUCUCAAUGUGAGGCAUGGAUGUCAUUGGUCCAAUCACCCCAAAGGCUUCUAACGAGCACAGAUUCAUUUUUGUGAUGAUAGAUUACUUCACAAAAUGGGUAGAGGUAGGAUCAUAUACAAGUGUGAUAUGAUCUGUGAUUUGUAAGUUCAUAAAGAGAGAGAUCAUCUAUAGAUAUAGACUUUCGAAAAGAAUUAUUUCAGACAAUGUCAAGAAUCUAAAUAGUAAGAUGAUGCAAGAAAUAUGUGCUCAAUACAAGAUCAAGCAUCAUAACUCAGUACCAUACCUUUCGAAAAUGAAUGGGACAGUUGAGGCAACAAAUAAAAACAUAAAAAAGAUUCUGGAAAAGAUGACCGAGACUUAUAAAGAUUGGCAUGAGAAGUUGCCAUUUGCAUUACAUGCAUAUCAAACAUCAGUUCGCACCUCUACUAGGGUAACCCCAUUUUCUUUGGUUUAUGGGAUGGAAGCUGUACUACCAGUAGAAGUGGAGAUCUCAUCCUUGAGGGUUCUAAAAGAAGUUAAGUUGGAAGAAGCUGAAUGGAUUCGAGAAUGCUAUGAACAGUUAAAUUUCAUAAAGAAAAAGAGAUUGACUGCACUGUGCCAUGGUCAACUAUAUCAAAGAGAAUGAUGAGGGCUCAUGAUAAGAACAUUCGACCCCGUUGCUUUUGAGAAGGAGAGUUGGUCUUAAAGAGAAUCCUUUCGAUCCAGCACGAUAGUAGAGUAAAAUAGACUCUGAAUUGGGAAGAGCCAUAUAUGGUGAGACGAGCUUUUUUGGGUGGAGCGCUGAUACUGACUGAGAUGAAUGAAAAUAAUUUAUCCCAUCCUAUAAAUUUUAAUGCUGUGAAGAAAUACUAUGCUUGAAAAAAAAAUGAAAAAAUGAAAGAAAUGAAAAAAAGGAAAAAAUGUGAAUGAAAAAGGAGGACUCAAGGCGAAAACCUUAAAAGGGCAGUUUGAGUCAUAGGGGGUUAUCUAAGUUGAAAACCUAAAAAGGUAGCUUAGAUAAAGAGAAUACAAUAUCGAAUUCGAAAAUUCGAUGGCAUGGAGACUAGUAAAAUUCGAAGGAGCUCCAGGUUGUUAAAUACAUCAGAGGUUGGAUUUUCAGAAAAAAACUUUGAGAUGUAUUAUCAUGAUUAUUCGAUUGUUCAUUUUGGGCUUUGUUCCCCAUUCUUAUCUUUGUAAUUCUCCCUUGGCCAAAAUUAGCCAACAUUUUUGCUAAUAAAAGACAUUUUAUUUCACUCUUUGUGUCUUUUUUUUCUGGUGACUGUUUCUCAACCAUUCUUAUUCUUUUCUACUUAAUACCCUACAAUGGAAGAAAUGUGCAAAUGCAUUCUUACUUUUUGAGUUAAAAAUAAUGAUUGAUGAAUGAAUAAUGGCAUGAAAGAUUUUUACAUUACAUUGAAUAAGUCAAGAGUGAUAAAGACAGGAUUGAGAUGUUCAGUUCCUGAUAAGGACAUUGAAUUUGGAAAGAGAUUUUUUUUACAAAAAAAUGUGAGUGGAAGAGAUGAUUGAGAGCUAUACUGGCUCGAUCUUAGAAGAGCAGUGUAAUUGGGUCUUUGAAGAAUCAAGGGUUCGGCCAAGAAAAGAGCUUGAGAAAUUUGAGUACCACAAUUGAAUAGGAGUUAAUUAGCCAACAUUUGCAUAACAUGCAUUGAAUUUCAUACAUUGCAUAGCAUAUACUACAUAAAUUCAAGAAGCAAGGGUAUUCCAAAAUCCCACAUAGAAAAGACAGAUGUGAAGACAUUUUCAAAUUUGAGAAGAAACUUGUCAGGUAAGUUCCUAAUCCUUGAAAUAGGAUGUCUUUUGGUAUCAGGGUUGAUUUAUAAGACCUUUGGGCAUAAUCUCCUGAAAUUCCUUCAAACACGAUUUUCAAUUCCUUUAGACAUGAUUGUCAAGGAGCAAUUUACUUUUCAAAGUCGUUGAGCCUCUGAUUAGAGGAGCCAUUUAUUUUUUUAAAGUUGUUAAGCCUCUGAUUAGAAGAGCCAUUUAUUUUUUCAAAGUUGUCAAACCUCUGAUUAGAGGAGCUAUUUAUUUUUCUAAAGUCAUUGAGCCUCUGAUUAGAAGAGUUAUUUAUUUUUUUAAAGUCGUUGAGCCUCUGAUUAGAGGAGUCAUUUAUUUUUCCAAAGUCGUUGAGCCUCUACUUAGAGGAGCUUUGAUCAAAUUUAAAAAAAAAUAAACAAAAACAAAAAUCACCUAUGAUUAGAUGAGCUUUACUUAUUUUUCAAAGUCAUUGAGCCUCUGAUUAGAGGAGCAUUUGUUUAUAUUUUUCAAAGUCGUUGAGCCUCUGCUUAGAGGAGUUUUGAUCAAAUCUUAAACACAAAAAAAUAAAAAAAAUGUCGACUUGAGUCUUGAUUGGGUGUUUACGUUUUUGCGCAAUUUUUGUUUCACAGAAAAUGUGCAAAGAGAGGCAGCUGUAGACACCCAAUUUAGUCUAGGCCCAGAUCAAUUGGGCCUGGUCCAAAUGUGUAAGCCCAUUUUAUAUUUUUAUUUUAUAUUUAUUAUUUUUAUAUAUAUUUCUUUUAUUUUUAUCUUAUGUAUUUAUUAUUUAUUUAUUUAUUAAUACUAUUUAUUAAUAUAUAUAUCCUUAUUAUUAUAAUUACUAUUUUUUUCUUUUUUUUUUCUGUUAAUAUUUAUAUAUAUAUAUUUAUCUGAUUAUAUAUUAUAAUUUAUCUAUUAUUUAUUUUUAGUUAUCUGUUAAUAUUUUUAUUUAUUUGAUUAUUUUUUUUAAAUUAUCUAUUAACAUUUUUUAUUUUCUUUUUCUUUUUUUUGGCUGAAAUUUGGAGAAUCCUACUAUGAAUGGGGAUUCAAUCAGAGUCCAUAUUAGAUUCAAUGAUUGAAUCCUAAUCCAAAGAGGAGUUGGGAUUGAUCAGAAACUCUUCUGAUCAAUCCCUAUAAAAGGACCCUCAAAUCAAAGGAAAAAACAGAGAAAAUGAGUUACUGGCUGAGAGAAAAGACAGAUACAGAGAAGAUUUAAAAGCUAAAAAGAUUUUGGUGCGUUUGGAACAGCUCUAAGAAUCAGCAGAAAUUUUUGGAGAAUUUUUACGAAUUUUUUUCUGGAAUGUUCUGAAAAAUUUACAGAUUUCGGUUGAAUUUUUCGGCAAGGUUAAAUUUUUUGACGAUUAUUCCGGCCAAGUUUGAAGUUUUCGACCAACUUUCCAGUUUUCGACAACCAUUUCCAAAAACCGAUCAGUUUUUCGAUGAACUUCCGGCGAAAAACUCAGAUUUCGACGAAAAUUUUUAGAAUCGACGGCCAUUCAACUGGAGUUCUUCAGAUUUUUAGAAGGAAGAGAGAGAGAGGAAAGAAGGGUUCUGCUGAAAAAAUGAAGGAAUCAGCUUUAUAUGCCCUCUCAAAACGACGUCGUUUUUGCGUUAAAUAACCUAGAGGAUCCGCGUGUUUUGCCAAGAUCCGACCCGACCCGAGCGCCGAUCCACUUUCGACCCACGUGCGACCCGCGUCUCAAGUCGUUAGCCGAGCAGAGCCGACACCCCUGAGCCGCGUCUCCAAGCUAUUUUUUCUUCCUCAAACAGAGCCGAGCCAUUCCCAGGUUUUUUUUUUUCGUUUAUUUAUUUAUUAUUAUUUUUAUAUCAAAAUUGUUUAAUAUUUUUAUUUUUUAUUUAUUUUUUUAUUUUAUUUUUUUAAAAUAAAAUUCAAAAAAAUUAUUUUUGAGGAAAAGUUGAAAGUAUCAAUUUUUCUUAAGAAUAAAUUUUUUUUUAAAAAAAAAGAGGUUUUGAGGAAAAGUUGAAAGUAUCAAUUUUCCUUAAGAAUAAAUUUUCAAAAAAAAAAAAAGUUUUGAGGAAAAGUUGAAAGUAUCAAUUUUCCUCGAAAUUAAAAGUUUUCAAAAAAUAUUUUUCGGUAAAAGUUGAAAGUAUCAAUUUUUCCUUAAAAUAAAUUUUCAAAAAAAAAAAAGAUUUGAGGAAAAGUUGAAAAUAUCAAUUUUCCUCGAAAUUAAAGUUUUCAAAAAAUAUUUUUGAGGAAAAGUUGAAAUUAUCAAUUUUUAAAAAAAAUAAGUUUUCAAAGGGAUUUUUGAGGAAAAGUUGAAAGUAUUAAUUUUCUUCGAAAUUAAAGUUUCCAAAAACAAAAAUAUUUUUAUGAAAAAGUUGAAAGUAUCAAUUUUUCCUGCACAAAAACAAUCAUUUUUUUUAAUGUUAAAUAAUCCAACGAUGAAGCCUCUUCAAGUGAAACAGUAGUUUUCUUGCAUACUCUUGAGGUGAGGGGAUUUUCUCAAUUUUCUACUAAAAGUAUUAGAGUUAAUUGAGAAUAAUUUCCAACAACUAAUUACUUGGUAAAUUUUUAAGGCUUAUUGAAUAACAUAAAAUUAAGCUGGUACCAUCUUUUGAUGGGCGUUGUGAGGGUGCUAUAACCUUCUUCACACGUAACCGAACUCUCGAACCCUGUUUUGGUUAGUAGACGCGAACUUAUUUUUUUAAGGACCUUUAAACUUAGGUGUUCCUUGAAAAGAUAGAUUCCUUAAGUGGCCAAUCGCACCUAGAUAAAAAAAAUUGGUGAUGACUCCUUCAAAUCAAUGUUUAGUGAUAGAUCCCCGGAUCUAGACGUUAUGACACUCAUUUUUUGGGCCAUGUUGUAAAUUGAACCUCCCACUGGCAUUUAUUUAUUUCAUUUGGUAUAUUUCAACCUCUCUUAAUGUUGGUUAUCUUAACAUGCUUUUUAAAUUAGGUUAACGUGUGAUUUAUGCAUCGAUAUGACUUUUCAAGAUUUGAUAUUUACAAAAAAAUUUAUGGUUAAAUAUUGGAAAUUUUUUUUUGUAAAAUAUUUUGUUUCAUACAUUAAUUCUAUUGAUGAUAAGUUAAUAUGGUCGAAUAUAAAUAAAUAAUACCAUAACAUGUGACACAUUUUUAUUGAUUAGUAUUUAUCAUGUUAAUAUUUUAAUUGAUCAUGUAAGUUGUUUGAUAAAAACAAAAUUCGGAUACAUAAUCCUAAUUUUUUAAAGGCAUUGUAUGGUUAAAAAUAAUACACUAACUCUUUAAAAUUAUGGAUUUGUCCGCAAACUAAAUCUUGUCAUAAUUAAAAGCAACUUUAGACAAGGGCCAAAGGGUAGCUAAGCUUUUCUAAUUUCUCGUGACCAAACCAUGCAAACGAUGGAAACACUUCUACAAACCACAAAUUUAUUGUGAUUUUAGGCUUUCUCACCUAAUGCCAUUAAUAUUUUGUUUUAAGGAAGUUUUAGCUUCUAACCUCUUCUGUACUAGAGUGUUUCAUUAUGUAAUCAUUGUAUAUAUAAAAUUCAAAUAGUUUGUAAUAAAUGCCUAGUCUUUUUUACAUAAAUUAUAAAUUUAUACAUCUUAAUUUUAUUAUAUAAAAUACAAUAAAUUUUUUAUUAUCUAAUAUUUAUUUGAACUAUUGAUUUUUGAUUUUCUUGUAUUCAUUUUUUUUUUGAAACCAUUAUUUUUAAAGUGUAUUGGUAAACCUUUUAGUUUUGUAACAUUUAUAUUUUUUACUUUUAAUUUUCUUAUGACUUAUGAUCUUUUAUUUCUUUUAAGGGUGAGAGUUAUACGAGCGUAUUUCAUGUCUCUAUUACACUUUUUUCUUUCGAUUAUUAUUUGUCAUAUUACUUUGAUUAUUGACUUUUGAUUUUCUUGUAUUCAUUUUGAUUUUUGAUUUUCUUGUAUUUAUAUUUUUUAAAACCAUUAUUUUAAAAAUGUUACACUUCUUGCUUCCAAUUAUUGUUUGUCAUAUUAUUUUGACUAUUGGCUUUUAAUUUUCUUAUAUUCAUUUUAUUUAAAACUAUUAUUUGUUAAAAUUUAUUGAUCAAACAUUUGAUUUUGUAACAUUUAGUUUUUUAACUUAAGUUUGAUUUUCUUGCGAUUUAUGGUUUUAUAUCUCUUUUAAGGGUGAGAGUUAUAUGAGCUUCUUUCAUGUCAAUUUUACACUUUUUUCUUCCAAUUUUUAUUUGUCAUAUUACUUGGAUUAUAGAUUUUUUAUUUCUUGCAUUCAUUUUCUUUAAAAUCAUUAUUUGUUAAAAUUUAUUGAUAAGAUUUUGGUUUUAUAAUAUUUAUAAUUUUGUCUUUUGAUUUUUUCUGUGACUUAUAAUUUUUCAUCUUUUUUAAAGGAUGGACGUUAUAUGAGUGUCUUUUAUACCUCUAUUACACUUUCUUCUUUUAAUUCUUAUUUGUUAUAUUACUAAUUAUAAAAUUUUGUUUUUCCAUUGUGUUUUUGGUUGGAUGAUUUUAUAAUUUUGUAAUUUUUUAAUCAUGAUCUAUGUUUUUCUACAUUUCAUGUUUUUUUAUUAGUCAAUUGAUGAUUUUUUUAGUGUUUUUAUUUUCUUAUAAUUUUUUACUUUUUUGCCAUGAUUUUUUUUUUUUUGUAGUUUAAGCUUUAUUAUUAACAUUUACUAAUCAUAAGAUUUGUUUAUUAUUAAGUUUUCAUUUUCAUAAUUUUUUAAUUUUUUUAAUCAUGAUUUUUUUUUUUUUUUUUACAUUUCAAGUUUGUUUCUUAACCAAUUGGUGUAUUUUUUAUUAUUUGUAUUUUUAUAAUUUUUUUAUCAUGUUUCUUUCUUUCUUUUUUUCAUUGUUUAAACUUAGCUAUUAACAAAUUAGAAUAUACCAUGGUUGAUGAUUAUCUCUUAAAAAAAUGAAUGGAUUCAUAAUUUGUGUUUGCCAAUUGUGAGAUAUUUAUAAUUUUAGAGAUAUUUAUAAUUUAAAGACUAAACAACAUGUUAGUACAAAAAUGAUAUUGUUUGAUGAAAAUGUAUAUAUGCUUUUUCUAUAUUUUUGUCAUGUUAUUUUCUUAUCUCUAAUUUAUUUUCUUAUUUUUUAAUUAAAUCAUAGGCAUGAAUAUUGUUUUUUAUAUUGCUUAUUUAUGACUUUUGAUUUUUGUUUUUUAAAUUAUAUAAAUUCUUUCAUUUUUAUAUAUUUUAUUUGUUUAGAUUUUUUGUAUGUAGCAUGUUACUAAUCAUGAGAUUUGUAUGCAUCCUCUUCAUGUUUGCGUAUUUAUAAUUUUUAAUUUUUUAUAUGAUCCAUGAUUAAUAUUUUUGCUAUUUAAAUAUAUUUGUUUGACAUUUGAGACAUUUUUAAAACUCAUUUUUACUUAUAACUUUUGAAUUUCUUCUUUAAGUGAUAAAUAAAUUGUUGCAAUGAGAAUAAAAAUGUUUGAUUUAUCAAUUAUAUCAUAAUUUUUUAUUUAUUUUGAAGUACGAAUUGAUAUUUUAUUUUUAGAAAAUCAAGUUAACAUAAAAUUUGCUUCUUCUUCUAUUUUUCAUUGUGUUUGAUUUUUUUACAAGACCUGUAAAUUUUUGGUAAUAUAUAAACUCAUUGACAAUGGAAGGUGAUACUCAAGUUUCAAUGUUUCAAUAAGAUUUUGAUUCUUUUUGUUAUUCCAUAUUUUUCUCAUUUUUUUUCUCUUAAUCUAUUUACUGAUUUUUUUUCUUUUUUUUCUUCCCAUAAUUUUUAUGUCAUAAUUAAGCUGUAAAAUGUAGAUAUUUUAUCUUGUUAUAUUCAUUUAUAUUAUUAAUAAAUUUAUGUUUUGUUAAGAAGAUUUUUUUUUAACUUUUAAUGGUUUUUCUAUGUGAUUAUAUUUUGAUUUUUUUUUAUGUUAAGGAAGCAGUUUAGAUUCUUCAAAAAAAAAAACUUUAAAACAUUGAAAAUAAAAAGAUCUAAAAAUUUUAUAAAAAUUAUCAAAAAAUUCGAAAAAUUAUGAAAAUUUUUCUUUUUUUUUGAAUCUUACAAUUUUAAAUUUUUAUAUAUUUUAUAACUAUUUUUGGAUCUUUUUAUUUUUUUGGAUUCUUUAUUACAAUAUUAGUUUUUUAUUUUUUGUUUUCAUUUAAAAAUUUUUCUCUAAAAUUUUUAGAAUGUUCAUUUUUUUUAAAAAAAACUUUUCAUAAUUUUUUAAAAUUUAAAAGAAUUUUUAAUUAGUUUUUAGAUUUGUAAAAGAAAUUUAGAUUUUUUAUUGUAAAAUUUUUUUAAGUUUUUAUGAAUUUUUUUUUAAUUUUAAGAUAAUUUUAUUUUUAUUGAAAAUUUUAUUUUUAAAAUGUUCAUAAUUUUUUAAUUUUUAUAAUUUCUAAAAAUAUUUUAUAUUUUUAAAUUUUUAAAUAAUUUUAAAAAUAUUUGUAUUUAUUUAAAUUUGUUUCAAAAUUUCAAUAAAUAUUAACAUGACGAUGGAUGAUAAGAAACUGACUAAACUUUUUGAUUUGAAUCAACAUUUUAUUAAAUGGUCAUACCACAUUUGCAAGUUAAUUAAUGAUAUUAGUUUGAAUUAUUAAAAUGGAUAAUGAAAUGAAAGUUAGAGUAAUAAAAUAAAAAUUUUAUUUUUUUAUGUAUCAAACUAAUAAAAAAAUAUAUAAUACAUGAAUUAUUUUUAUAUUUUAAAAAAAUCAACCAAAAUCCCAUCACCACUGCUAUUUCACUGGCCAUACUUCAAUCCGAACCAACCACCAUAAGUCCCCCACCGUGACCGCCCAUUGCCGAAAACAAGGAAACACAUGGCAAAAAAAUUAAAAAAAAUCCCUACAAUAGAAACGUCAAGUACAGCAGAACCAAGACCACUGACUCAGACCCCAUAUUGAACCUACUGCUCAUCCCAAGGAUUUAAAUUACAGUUACCAUCGCAUUUUCGAUUGAAUAGUAUUUUAUUAUGAUUCGGACAUAAUAGAUAAAAUAAUGAUAGUUGUAUUUAUUAUGAUCGUGAAUUUUUUUUUUAAUUUUAAACAAUUUAUCAUAAAAUAAAAUAAAUAAUAAUUAUAAACAUGUUUAUUAUAUUUAAAGUAACUUAUAAUAUUUUAAUUCUUUAAUUUAUAUAUUAAAAUAAAUAUUUUAUAUUAUUUCAAUUUUGAAUCAUAAAUCAAUAUACGUAUAUAAAAUGUUGAUCAUUAAUAUAUCCAUAAAUUUUGUUUAUAUAAAUACUAUAAAUACAUAUGAUUGAUGACAAAUUAUCAUUGUGAAAUUAAUAUUAUAAAUUAGUCUAAUUAAAAAAAAUAAUAAUAAACAUUUAAAUAUUUUUAAGUAUAAUUAUUAAGGUAAAUGGAUUAAAAUAUAAUUUUGUGGUAUAAAUACAUGUAAAAACACUUGUACAUAUCAUUUUUCAUUUUCUUUAAAAUUUUUCUCUAAAAUUUAAAAUCUUCAAAAUAUUCCCAAAAACUUAUUUCCCAUUAUUUAGUUUUGUUCUAUAACUUCUUAUCUAAAAAUAUUAGGCAUAAAAAAAUUAAAAAUAAAUAUACUUAAUAAUAUUAAAUUUUUAUUAUAAAAUAUUUUUUAGAUAAUUAAAAAUUAAAUUCACUAUUUAGCAACUAACAACUCUAUUAAAUUCUUUUUAAAAUCAUAAAAAAAAUUCAAAUACCCAUUUCCCAAAAAGUAAAAGAAAAGAUAAUCAAAAUAAAAAAUAAAAACCAAUUUAUAUCGACAUCAACUUCACUCGUGUCUUUCCCUUUUUGUCCACUUUGCUUUUCCAUCCCAAAACAAAAUCACCCACGAGCCUAUCCAUUUUCUUCCUUGUCAUUCCCUCAAGUGAUUUCAACUCUUUUUUUUUCAUUGGAUUGAUUUGGGAGUUGUUUGCAAUUACUUUAUGGCAUCAUACAGUUCUUAAGUUGCUAAACUUAAGGAUCCCAUAGAGCAGUAAAAUGAGUUUGACAGUUUGAAAGUUAGUUCUCUUACUGGAGUUCUAUCUUUAUAUUAUCUCUGUUCCGAUUAUUUUGAUUAAGACUUAAGUUUGAUUAAAUAAUUUAGACUUGGGGCAUAAUUUUCUUACCAUAUUGGAAUGUGUAUUCAUUUUAUUUGAUGAAAGAAAAACAUAAAUAGUAGCUUUAACAUCCCGUUACAAUAGUUUUUUUUUGUUAUACCGCUAUUUACGGCUGUAAACAACUGUCAUAGGUGUGAUUGCCAAUCACAUCUCCAUCGCGGGAGAAUAACAGAAGCCGUAGGUAACGCUACCACUAAAUAACAGCUGUUAUAUUGCGUUGCCGGCAUUAUUUAAAACCUUGUCACCAAUCGCCUAAUACUCAUCAACACCUUUACCCCAUCAACUCACCACAAUCGAAAACCAUCCCUUGCCCACCACUAGCUAGUUGACAACAUACAACCCCUCUUCAAUGACAAUCAAAGCUCAACAGAAAAAACACUCACACACACAAAACAAAUGAUCAUCUUCAUCCCUACAAGGGGAACACCACUGUAACCCACAAUAGAAAAAAAAAAAAAACAAAUUCAUAAAACCAAAGGUGCAAGAAAAGAAUGUUUCAUUUUUGCAUUUUGGGUUUUGCAAUUUAUAGAAGGAUUUUGGGAAAUCUCAACGGUGAAAAGAUAGAUCAAAGAAAGAGGAUUUAGAAUUUUCUAGCAUAGUUGAUAAUUUCAUUUGAGAUACGCUUCAAUUAUAUUAAAAUAUGAUAUAUUUAAAAAUAAUUUUUCAUACCAAAUUUAGUAUUAUGUAAUAUCAGUUAUUUGUAUUGGUUUUGAUUGAUUUCAAUAAAUUUUGAUGAAUUUACUUAUUUUGGUUGGUACGUAAAUGUAAAUCAUGUUUUAUAAUUUUUAAUUUAUCUUUUGUUAUUUGACUAUUUUUAAUCUAAUAAAAUAAAUUAAUUGACAAAAUAACCUUUAAAAAUUAAAUUUUUUUAUUGUAACUUAUUUUUUUAUAUUUUAUUUUUUCAAACCAAAGUUCAUAAAUAUUUUAAUAUUUUUUAAGAAAAUAAUUGUAUGCCCUUUCUAAAGUUUAAAAUCAUGAAAUUAAAGUUAAUUUUUUAUCUUCAUUUAUAUUAAUAUUUGUAUAAAAAUAUUUAUUUAAAUAUUAUAUGAUCAAAUUCAAUGUUGAAAAAUAUUCAUUUGAUUUUAUUUCUUCCAACGGCCUGUAGGAUGAAGUUUUGGUGUGCAAGACUUGGGCUUCCUUUCAUUUAUUUGGAUUCAAACCCAACUUCAAAUUAGGAAUAAUUUCUAAAUUUUAGUUUACUUUUAUUUUAUUUUGUUUUAUGUCCUUAGCUAAUUAUUCAUUAGCUUAUUUUAUCUUAAUACAUUUUUAAAAAAAUUUAUUAUGAGAAUGUUAUUAUUUGUAGGUAGGAUUUCAAUGAUGAAAUUUUAAGAAAUUAAAAAUACAUGAUUUUCUAGAACUUUGUAAAUGAGGAUCUUAUGUUUAAAUUAUUACAAAAUGAUGGAUAAUUUAAAUAAUGGUUUAAUAUUAAAUAAAAAUUAACAAAAUACUUUAAAUAAAAUUUAUAAUAAUUAUUUAAUAGUGAAAUUCUAAGAAAUUAAGAUUGAUUGGUUUUCUUAGACAUUUCUAGGUGAGAAAAAUAUUUUUAAGUGUCUUCAAAAUGAUGAAAAAUUUAGCAUAUUUUCAAUAUAAUAAAUAAAAAAUAAUAAAAAUUAGAUAACCAAAUAAUUGAAAGCUAACAUUUUAGGAUUUUUUAAGGAUAAAUGUGGAUUAAAAUAAAUGAUAAAUUCUAGAUGAAUUACGAAUUUGUAAUUUUCUAGAGAAUUUUUUUUUUGAAAUUUUGCCAAAAUGAUAGAAAAUUAGAAAAAAUUAAAAGGAAUAAAAUGUAAUAAGGCAAAAUAAUUAGUAACAAAGAAUAAUAAUAAAAAUAAAAAUUACUAGAAAUUAAUGAAUAAUGACAAAGGCUCUCUAAGUUUGGAAAUAUGAAAAUCGCCUUAAUCAUAAAAUGAAAGAAAAUAAAAGAGUUAAUUUUAUGAAAGGUUCCUACAUAUGAAUAUCCAUUUGAAUUUUUUCAGAAUGAUAAAAAAUUUUAAAAAAAGUUCUAAUACCAAAGGUUUAUAUUUAUUCCUAAAUAAGAAAAAUAUGAAAAUUAUAAUUUAUGUAUUAUAUCAUAUUUAUUAUAUAUUAAACAUGUACAAAAUACUAAAAUUAUUGUUUCAUAUUUUAUGUUGACAUAUCAAAUAUGAAAUGCAUUUUUGUUUGUUUUUACUAAAUUUAUAUAUGAUUUAUUUAAAAAAUUUUAAACUGUAUUGUUUAUAUGUCUUUUUUUAUUGGAGUAUAUCACUUAUAAUUCUUUUUUACUAUAAUGUUAUAAUUAUCCAAUUAAAAUAAAAAUUUAUGUAAGAAUCACACUUAUAAAUGUGAAUUCCAUAUAAAAUUUUAGUGAACUACACAUAAUUUUAAAUUAUAAUUAAUUAAUUAUACUACAAUCAUCAUAAAUAAUAUGCUUUUUUUUUUAGUAUCGUGUUACCUUAUCCGGUUUAAUAAAAUUACAAGAUCUUUCUUCUCUUUGGAUAAUGUUUUUGUUUUCUAACUCAAAUUUGGUUUUCAUUUUCUACAAUUUUUGGAAAGUGAAGUUCAUGGGCUAAGCCCAAAGUGGUCCCAAGAGAGCUGCCUUUCAAUUUAUUGUUAUUAUUAUUAUUUUUUAAUAGAGACCCAGGAUCACUAAGUGAUGGUUACAUGAUUUGCUGAUAAUAAAAAGACUCUCACGUCAUAGACUAGGACCUGACCAACCAAAACCAGCCAUUUAUGUGGUGGGAAUUUAUUAAGAUUUAAGGAGGAUUUUAUCUUAAUUAAUAAGCCACCAAUAAAGAAUGAAAACUCCUUAGAAGAAAUUAUAUCCUUGGCUCAUCAUUUGUAGAAUAACUCUAAAGGAGUUUUUUUAAUUAAUUUUUUCCUUUUUACCAAAUCAGCAUGAAAUACUAACGAUAUUUGUGAUCUCAAGUCAAAGAUCGAGCAAAUAAUAUAAAAGCAACAGGAUUCCAACUAGAUUGAUGAAUAUAUGCAAUGAGCUUAUAUAUAUUUCAAGUUUUUUAAAUUACGAUUAGAAUUCGAAAUUUGGACUUUCAAUUUUAAAAUCGACUCAAUGAUUACAAAAUUAUUGAAUAAUUUGAUGAUUCAUGAAGAAUUAAAAUCCUAUAAAAUUAAUGAGCAAGAAAACUUUGAUUAUCAAACUUUUUUUAACUCCCACUCCUAUUUGUAACUGAAUUAACCAAGUUUCAACAAUUCUUACAUUUUCAUUUUAUUUUCUUCUAAUGGUCAAUAUGAUCACAUCAAACCACCCAACCUAUGAAAUGAACUAAUUUUGUUGGUGAGUCAAGAAAAUUGAUUAACUUAAAAUUGUAUUGAUAAUUGAUAAUCAUGUUUGUUAGCGCAAACCUAAAUGAUUAAUUAAUUUAACUUCUUUAAAGAAUUAUUUAUUAGGUUAUUAUAAAUAGUUUUAUGCCACUUAAUUUGAUUUAAUUGCCUUUGGUCAAAAGACCAUAAGUUGUUGCAUUUCUCAUUCAAAAAUAGUCAUUGAUGGUUCUACUCUUUUUGAUUGCCACUCCAACCUAUUUUGUAAAUUGUAAAGCUUUUUUAUUUUUUUUAAUUCAAGGAAAAGAGAUUGAACAUUGUUUUUUGAAUAAAAGAUUAUGUCAAUGAAUCCCGAAAUUAAUUUAAUUAGUUCAUAUAAUUAUUUUUAAGCGAUGAAAUUUAUUAAAUCUGAAGUUUAAAUUUUUGUAUUUAUAAAUUUUUUAUUAAUUAUGUCAAUAAUUUUAGUAUUGUAAAGCAUUUCUUUUUUCUUUCUUUUUUUAAUUCGAGGAAAAGAGACUGAACAUUGUUUUUUGAAUAAAAAGAUUAUGUCAAUGAAUCCCAAGAUUAAUUUAAUUAAUUUAUAUAAUUAUUUUCAAAAAGUGAUAUUUAUUAAGUUUAGAGUUCAAAUUUGAGUAUUUAUAAUUUUUUUUAUUAAUUAUGUCAAUCAUUAAACUAAAUACUCGGGAUCUUUCUAUUACCAACUAGGCUAAUUUUGUUUGAAUAAGAAUGUAAAUUCUGUUAAUUGCUACUAAAGUUUAAUGUUUCAAAAGAGCUGCGUUUCAUUUAUUAGCAGAAAGGCAAUCUAUGCUAGGAUGAUUUCCUCUCAAUUUUUCUUGUUCUGACACAAAUUAUUGAAAACUGGAACUAUUUAAAUUGCAAGUUUUAUUUAUAGGAUCAAACUUCAAAGAUAAAGAGGAUAAUCGACUAGAUCAUUGGAUCGACAAGGAAAGGGCAUGGUGGAGUAGGAACCUGGACAGCACCAUCGAGCAUCAUUGUAACAGUCCUCAUGGAUGGCCUCAUCAAUGGAUUUUCUUGUACACACCAAAUUGCCACUUUUAAUAACAUCUCCAAUUUCUCCACAUCGCUUCUAGCCUCUUCAUCAUUUUCCACCAGCUUUUCAACUAUGCCUUCUCUGUAGCAUUCGAAUGCCCAUUCUGUUAAUAUUGUUGCUUCCUCCUUCUCAACUUCAACACAUCUUCUGCAACAUAUGAUCUCUAAUAGCAUGACUCCAAAACUGUAAACAUCUACCUUCACUGUGACUGGGGUGUUUCUGAACCACUCUGGCGCCACAUAGCCUUUAGUCCCUCUUAUGCCGGUCAGCGUACGAGUGUUGUUGAUCAGAAGCUUUGACAACCCAAAAUCUGAUAUUUUGGCGGUAAAAGAAUCAUCCAAUAGUAUAUUUUGUGGCUUUAUGUCACAGUGGAUGAUUUGUGUGUUGCAUUCUUCAUGCAAGUAUGUGAGGCCUUUUGCAAUCCCUGAUGCAAUUUGCAGUCUUCGUUGCCAACUUGGCCUUAGCACUCCAAAAAGGAAGCUAGCCAAUGAACCAUUUUGCAUAAACUCAUAGACCAGAAGUCUAUUUUCGCCUUCAUCACAAUAGCCAAGUAGUCUCACCAAAUUCUUAUGGUGAGUUUGUCCAAUGACCUUCACUUCUGUUUUAAAUUCCUUUUCACCCUCUUGAGCAAACUUUUCUAAUUUCUUGACUGCAACAUAAUUUCCAUAACUUGAAGGCAAUUCUCCUUUGUAAACCGUACCAAAAGCACCCCUUCCUAGUUCUUCUUUGAAUCUGUUUGUGGCUUGUUCGAGAUCUUUGUAUGUGAAAGAACGCAGAUGAGUCUCCAAAUCUCUUCUGCUAGGAACACCGUCUAAGUGUCGAAGUCUUCUUUGAUAUAAACAGAAAAAGAUCAGAGAAAUUGCAACUAAAAAAAAGAAGUUGAAUAUGGCCGAGGUGCCUAAGAGAACUGAAAGGAUCAAAAUAACUUGAUUCUGAUUUUCAUUGCUUGGAUUUGGAGUGGCUUGGUUUGUCCUAGAGGCAUUUGACUUUGGUACCUUGAAGAGAGCUGUUCUAUCUAUAUCUCUAUCAAACCGCCCAUUUGAAAGUGGUAAUUUCUUUUCCAACAAGUUCCAUUGCCAUCUGGACUUACAGUUGGAUCCUGUAAAAUGGCAACUGCACAAGAACAGUGCAAGAAGGCAAGAUUGCCUACAUUCCAACUCAGUUGCAGGUUUCAAUAUCCAUAGUCACUGAAAGGAAAAUCAGCAAAUGAGAUUGGCUUGAACUCAAAGCGAUCUUCCCCAUUGGUGGAUCCGUCCGGAUUGCAAUCUCCAGGGGUAGCUUGUGUAAUCUUGUUUGCAGCCCGUGUAUGGAUUAUUUUCAUCCAAAAAGAAAAUCCAGGGGGACAUGUGCAAUUAGGCCUCCUAUCAUUGAUAAGUUCACAAAUACUGUUUAUAACCACAAGGGCCAUUUCCGAGUGUAGCUGUACUGUCUUAAAGCUACGACAGAUGUCCCUAGGCCUGAACCACAGACAGACCAGCUUUCACCGCCACUGGGGUUCCUUGGAUAAGAAUAGAGAGUAAAAACUCCAUAAAAAUCAAGUGUUGCCCUGUAGUAGUUUGAGUCUGGUUUUGGAACAGCAUUUUCUGGUGCAAGGAUGCGUGGACUUCCAGUUGAAUUCUGGAUUUGAAUAUGCCCUGACUUGUUGAAGAUCAACCGAGAACCGGUUUCAAAACUUGAAUAAUUAUUGUAAGGUUUUCCGGUGAACAUAUCUAUUUGAUUAAGUAUGAGAGAUCCUUUAUCGAAACGAAGUUGAUAUUUCCCCUUAUUGUAACUUGUUUCAUCCAAAGCUGAUAAAAGAUUGCCAUCAAUAUCCAAU